CCAUGGUGGCCUCGGCUGCGUCGGCGGUGGGACUUUGGUUGGGCGCGCUCGAGGCGUGUCAGGGGUCAGACGAAGGACGGUGACAUGGGCGUCGGCAUUGGUGACUGCAGCGCCAAGUCCCAAGGCGUUCACAGCCUCAAGGUGGUCCGGAUCCGUCCUCCGAUGCCGAAUCUAAGUGAUACGCGUCUGUUUUCGUUGUCGGAGUCCAAGUCCCGUGCCGCUGUCGCCGCCGCUCGCUGCAUCCGUGUCGCCCGCCCGUGUCCUCUGCUUCGAGCAGGCGGGGAUGCGGCGAGCAGGCAGGGAGGUGGCAAGCAAGGCGGUGAGCAGGGAGGCAGGCGCGCGGCGAGGAUGAGAGCAGUGGCCGGGCGGUGUGCCAGGCAAGGCUUUCCUGCGCGGGCGUAGGAUUUGGUGGGGCGAGAAGGAAAAGAGAGAGCAUGCACGUGGGUGUGGCCCGGAGAAAAAGGGUGGAGAGAGGGAGUGGGAGGCUGACUAUGGGCCAAAUGACAUGCAAAAUCUUCUCUCUCCUCCCCCAAGUGCCCCGGUGGGCUGGGGCCUCGGAGCGCCGGCUCUAAUUUUGGCCAAAUCCGGCAAAAUGUGAGUCUUUGGGGUGAUGAGUGGGAAAGAAUUAACCGGCGCCCAAAACGUGGUCCUGGGGGGCGUCUGGAGAUGCUCUUACAUGCCUACCCCGCGGGUUGCGGACGUUGGCACGCCGUGGUGAUGACCUCUGCAACGUGCUCCAACGGGGAGGUGCAUGCAAUGGGACGGGCUUGCGCCGGCCAGGUUGGCCCGCGAUAUCUCCAGGAGCUCAACCUACGCAGGAAGUUUUUCAGCUUCGGGUGCUCAACAUGGAGAGGGAUGCACUGCGGGUGACUCAAGGAACGAGUCUUGGAUAGCAGCGAGAACUUCACCUCGGACUGCGGCCACUGAAGUAUCGCGCUCCAACGAUGCCGAGGGCGACUUGAGGCGCUUGACGCUAUCCUCCAACAUAGCUAGCGGGGCGUGGUCGCCCUACCACCGGAGAGCACCUGCCUCGGCGUGGGCAUUGUCAGUGUGGUGGGCGGAGUCGGGGAGUACCCGGCCGAGUCAGCCACCAUGGCGUAUUGGCGUGGUACUGGUGCAACACCGCCUCCACAGAUGUGUAAGCCGCCGCGAGCGCGUGCCAUUUCUGGCCAGCCAUGGCUCGUGCGAAGGAGAUCAAUGCAUAUUCCGGUGGGCUUGGACGCGAAGGGGGCUCCGGGCAGCCAUGGCUCAGCGGAGAGUGAGAGAUCAUGGCUCGGGGAAGAGAGAGAGAGAUCAGGAGUGGAGAUGGAGAGAAGAAAGAUAAGAGGAAGGAAGGCCCCAUAUGUAAGUCAACGAUCAAACAAAAUGGUCAAACAAACUGUUUGUUUAGGAGCGGGCUCAACCUAUCAUAAACCAGAUCAAGUUUAAAUCACAAUGUCCUUUAGUUUUUUUUUUCUGGGAAGGUCAUUUAGUUUUUUGAAAAAAAAAACCCACCAACCUGGUAGGUAUCCGCGACAAACAAAUAUGUGGUAGAUUUUUGGAAUUCCAGCUCGAAAAGUUGUAGUUUCUAUGCUAUUCACUUAAGCAUAUGCAACCGAACCGGGCAAUAGUGAGCCUUAAACAUCCUUGAAUAGUGACCGACCAUCUCUCAAAUGCUCACAUCCACAACCAUCCCCCUCAUAGAAAAUCCUCGGAUUCAUAUAAUGUCAUGCAACGUUAUGUAGUUCGUCUAGAUCAACACACACGUAACAUAGAGAGUGCAUACAUGUUAUCGGACUGCCAAAAAUUGACAUGUUUUACUAGCUAUGAAUUACAUGGCUAUAGAGGAAGUACACCCACGACGAACCUUUUCCUUGCCCUUGCCCUUGUCGUCUUCAUCGUGGAAGUAGCAAUUGAAGACACAAUAUGGAUCGAGUCGAAUCUGCUCACCCCAGAGUUGUCUGAUCGUCACCGACCACCUCCUCCCCCUCUUUAGGCUACAGUCCUGCGAGGUCACAGACCACCCAGGUUUGCUAUAAAGUCGACACAUUGACAAAGCUUUUAGAAGAAAUUAUCAACGUCAAAAAUACUGAAGAAAAUUUAUCAACAUCCAAAAUACUAAAGAAAAAUUAUUACUGAGCUCGUAUUUUGAGUUGCUUGAGUUGACGCCAAUGAGGUGACGGCUUGAGCACUGCAGAGAUCUGGUACUCCUACGCACCCUAGAAAACAAGAUCUUCUAUUGGCUUGCUUCUAAAGAUCGCUUGUGGACGGCCAACAGACUCGCCCGAACUGUCGCACACCGGACAAUGCCAGGGCGAUAAAGAUGCCCUGCACAGGCUGAUCCGAUGUCCAUUCGUGAGGGAAGUUUGGUACCAAAUUUCCUCCCCCUACGUUUGCACCGCUUCACCCCGUCGACAACAUGCCCUAUCUCGGAUUGGUGGCCCGCACGGAGCGCAGCAGUGUCGCGCUUGCUGUGGAAAGAGCUCAACACGAUCGUUUUCCCUACCAUGCGGUUCAUCUGGCUAGAACGCAAUAACAGGGUGUUUGGCCGUAAAUCCUCGUUCCCGGUCAUUGUUGUGGGUUGAUCAAGGCGGAUCUUGCACUUUGGCGACUAGCACAUGUCAACGGGGGGCCAACAUUUAAGUAUAUUGAGUGUGGACAGUGGGGUUGGGUUGGAGUUCGCAUGUGACCUCCAUCCUUGUAAUUAUCUGUGAACGUUGUUCUUUCUUAUCUUAAUGGAAAAGGCAAGACAACGAUCCUGCUAAAUGGCACCCAGGGACAAUGGAUCAACUGUAAGAAUGGUCUCCACAGGGUGACCCUCUUUUCCCUUACCUCUUUAUAAUUAUCGCAGACCUUCUUCAAUGUUUAAUCAUUCAGGCUUUCUCUUCCAACCAGCUAUGCCACCCAAUCUACACUAAUCGUCCUCCGGCUGUGCUUCAAUACGCUGACGACACUCUAAUCAUUGCCCAUGCUUCUACCAAAGCGCGGCCACUCUCAAAGAUAUCCUUGACAAGUUCGCCCUUGCUACCGGCUUGACCAUAAACUUCCAGAAAACCACCUCCAUGCCCAUCAACACGGACCCCAGUACUAACCAUAACAUCGCCCUAAAUUUUUGUUGCGAGCUCUCCUCCUUCCCACAAAUUUAUCUAGGUCUCCCUCUUUCUCACACAUGCUUCCCGUCCUCUGCCUUUGAACCCAUCAUUCAGCGCUUCCUAAAAUACCUCUCUGGUUGGGCGUCCAAGAUUCUCUCUCGCGGAACUUGACUCACCCUUCUCUCAUCCACUCUCGACGACCUCUCCACUCACUUCAUGUUUGUCUUUAGACUCCCCAAGAAGAUUAUCAAAAGGUUAGACGUUAUCUGUAGAUCUUUCUUCUGGUCUGCGGAGGAAAAUUGCUCCGGGGCUAAUGCCUUAUCGCGUGGAAAAUUGUUUGCAAACCAAAACUGGCUAGUGGUCUUGGGCUCAAAAACCUGCUUCUCCAAAACGACCGCCUCCUCAUGAAGAUUGCUUUCAAACUUCUCCAAAAACCAGACCUCCCUUGGGUUAAUUGGGUCUUCCAACACCACUCUCUUGACUUCACGUUUAAACCUCACAACCCCUCCUACGUUUGGAAAAUCGUUAACCACCAAAUCCCCCCCCCCUUCAAAAAAUCCCAUUCGUCCUUACCAACAAUGGCACCUCCACCUUCUUUUGGCUCGACACUUGGCUUCUGUCCACUCCUCUCGCAAAAACCUAUCCCCAUAUUUCCACACACUCCACCUCACCCUCGGUCCUGGUAUCUCAUGUCAUGCAUGAUGGUGAUGGUUUACUCGCUAAUCUUCGGAACCGCCUAACCCUUGUAGCCUAUGUCGAGCUUAUGUCUGUUCUAUCCUUGUUGCAGGAUGUCACCACUAGUGACACGCCCGACGACAGGUUCCUCACCCACGGCUCCUCAUUCACCUCGAGGUGCGCCUACUCGCUGGUCUCCUCCAACCACCGGUUUGAUCUCAACACAGGGUACAUCUGGGGCUCCAAGGCACCUAUCAAGGUUAAGAUCUUCGGUUGGCUUCUCUGCCGUGACAGGCUUAGCACGAUGGUGAACCUACAUCACAAGACCAUUACCACUACUUUGAUUUGUCCUCGGUGCAACAACUCUUUUCAGGACGCGACACACCUCGCCAUACUCUGCCCAUGCGCGGCUCUGGUCUGGGCCCUCCUGGGCCUUCAGACACCUCACUCCAUCGACCUCGUCUGGGAUACUCCAACACCGGUUGGCCUCUACAUCAGCAUCUAGCCUACCGUCACUCUCGCCAUCAUCUGAAAGCUGUGGGACUCUAGGAACACCUGUGUUCUCCGCAACGACAUGAACUCCCCCUUCAUACUAUUCAAAACAUCGUUAUAGACUUUACGCUUUGGGCCUUUAGAUUUAAGGACCCCGUAAGCAGGGAGGUUGCCCUGUCUUGGCGCAUGUACCUCUUCUCUCGUUGUAAUCCUUAAUGUAACUUGCCUUCGGGCUUUUGAGUAAUAUAUUCAGGUGGGGAUCCUCUCCCUCUCGAUGAUUGUUCAAAAAUAAUAAUGAAAAAGGAAUGCAAAGCUCUUGCAUGCUCUUGAAAAAAAAGGUGAUGGUUUGUUAAUUUAACUCUAUAAUCACAUUAGAGUUAUUUAUAAAGUUGGGCCUGAGGUUUGACUUCCAAUUAAAUUAACCAAAAAAAUGAUAUGGUCAAAGAUAUGAUAUCUGAGUAUCAAACAAAUGGAUGGCUAAACAUAUUCGUGGUUGCAUGUUAGGUUUGAAGAUUGAAACAUCCACUUUGGCCCUCAUUAGGAACACUAGAAUACGGUGUGAAUCAAUUCAAUUUGGCAUGCCAAAUGGACCUAUCUAAUGCCUUCUCCAUUUCAUCAUUAAAACAAACAUAUAAGGUGUUUUAUAAUUUGUCAAGACAAAGAUCUGAUAAAGAUCUACCAUAAUAUGUAGCUUAUGUAAAUAUGUAAUACAAAACUAUAAUCAUAGUUAGCCAUAUGCUUUUGAAUAUAAGUCAAAUUAUAUAAAUUCUCCUCCACCAUAGACCCGGACUAGCUAAACUGAAGGCAUGCAAGCGCGUUGUCCAAUUGGCGAUGGAGCUCCAUGUCCGGAAGCUGGUCUUGGAAACUGACUGUCGGGUGGUGGCCGCCAAGCUCACUAUCACACAAAGGGAUUCAUCCAUCUAUGGGUUGUUGAUUGAGGAAGUCAAGGGGUUACUAUUAUCGCGUGAUGAUUUUAGGGUUAAGUUGGUUCCGCGUUCUGCCAACUCUGCGGCCCAUUUGUUAGCUAAGAAAGGUUGCAGGAAUAAAUUAUGCAAACUGGCUUCAUAUCCCUCCUGAUUGUAUUUUUGAAAUUUAAACUUGUAUUUAGCCGAUAACUUUGAAUAAAGAAGCAACACUUUUGGUUGUCAGAAAAAAGCAACACUUUCAACUUUAAAAAUAUUAUAUAAAUUCUAUAUCAUAGAAAGUAUAUAUUAAGAAAGUGGUUGUUUCUCAAAUCCUUGUGCCAACUAUGACAAGGAGACUAGUACUUGUAUGAAUUAGGCAUGCAUUUAGUCAAAAAUAUCUAAUGUUUCGUUUUGUGAUCCAGUGCGAGGAUACUUAGAGAAGCUCUAGCAGUGUCUAUAUAGUCGCAAUCGCUAUAAUAGCCAUCAAUAUAGUGAUUUUGGUCAAAAAUUGCACUUUAGCAGAGUCGUCAUAUAGCUCUCGGUCGCCAUAGUUUAUGGAGUUCGCUCCAUAAAUGACCUCGCAGCCUCCAUAUUUUGAGGCUAGGGAGGUCCAGUAUGGAGCAAUAGAUUUCGCCCUUGAUACGUCUCCAACGUAUCUAUAAUUUUUUAUUGUUCCAUGCUAUAUUAUAUUCUGUUUUGGACAUUAUUGGGCUUGAUUAUACACUUUUAUAUUAUUUUUGGGACUAACCAAUUAACCGGAGGCCCAGCCCAGAAUUGUUGUUUUUUGCCUAUUUUAGAGUUUCGCAGAAAAAGAAUAUCAAACGGAGUCCAAACGGAAUGAAACCUUCGGGAAUGUGAUUUUCGGAACGAACGUGAUCCAGAGGACUUGGACCCUACGUCAAGACAUCAACCAGGAGGGCACGAGGUAGGGGGCGCGCCUACCCCCCCCCCCCCCAGGCGCGCCUUCCACCCUCGUGGGCCCCCUGUUGCUCCACCGACGUACUCCUUCCUCCUAUAUAUACCUACGUACCCCCAAACUACCAGAUAUGGAGCCAAAAACCUAAUUGCACCGCCGCAACCUUCUGUACCCGUGAGAUCCCAUCUUGGGGCCUAUUCCGGAGCUCCGCCAGAGGGGGCAUCGAUCACGGAGGGCUUCUACAUCAACACCAUAGCCUCUCCGAUGAAGUGUGAGUAGUUUACCUCAGACCUUCGGGUCCAUAGUUAUUAGCUAGAUGGCUUCUUCUCUCUUUUUGGAUCUCAAUACAAUGUUCUCCCCCUCUCUCGUGGAGAUCUAUUCGAUGUAAUCUUAUUUUGUGGUGUGUUUGUUGAGACCGAUGAAUUGUGGGUUUAUGAUCAAGUUUAUCUAUGAACAAUAUUUGAAUCUUCUCUGAAUUCUUUUAUGUAUGAUUGGUUAUCUUUGCAAGUCUCUUCGAAUUAUCAGUUUGGUUUGGCCUACUAGAUUGAUCUUUCUUGCAAUGGGAGAAGUGCUUAGCUUUGGGUCCAAUCUUGCGGUGUCCUUUCCUGUGACAGUAGGGGCAGCAAGGCACGUAUUGUAUUGUUGCCAUCGAGGAUAACAAGAUGGGGUUUAUAUCAUAUUGCAUGAGUUUAUCCCUCUACAUCAUGUCAUCUUGCUUAAAGCGUUACUCUGUUCUUAUGAACUUAAUACUCUAGAUGCAUGCUGGAUAGCGGUUGAUGUGUGGAGUAACAGUAGUAGAUGCAGGCGGGAGUCAGUCUACUUGUCUCGGACGUGAUGCCUAUAUACAUGAUCAUACCUAGAUAUUCUCAUAACUAUGCUCAAUUCUGUCAAUUGCUCAACAGUAAUUUAUUCAACCACCGUAAAUACUUAUGCUCUUGAGAGAAGCCACUAGUGAAACCUAUGGCCCCCGGGUCUAUUUUCCAUCAUAUUAAUCUUCCAACACUUAGCUAUUUCUGGCGUCAUUUUUAUUUUACUUUCUUUACUUUGCAUCUUUAUCAUAAAAAUACCAAAAAUAUUAUCUUAUCAUAUCUAUCAGAUCUCACUCUCGUAAGUGACCGUGUAGGGAUUGACAACCCCUUAUCGCGUUGGUUGCAAGGAUUUAUUUGUUUGUGUAGGUGCGAGGGACUCAUGCAUGGCCUCCUACUGGAUUGAUACCUUGGUUCUCAAAAACUGAGGGAAAUACUUACGCUACUUUGCUGCAUCACCCUUUCCUCUUCAAGGGAAAACCAACGCAGUGCUCAAGAGGUAGCAAGAAGGAUUUCUGGCGCCGCUGCCGGGGAGUCUACGCAAAAGUCAACAUACCAAGUACCCAUCACAAACCCUUAUCUCCCGCAUUACAUUAUUUGCCAUUUGCCUCUCAUUUUCCUCUCCCCCACUUCACCUUUGCCGUUUUAUUCGCCCUCUCCUUUUUCCGUUCGCCUCUUUUACUGCUUGCUUCUUGUUUGCUCGUGUGUUGGAUUGCUUGCCUGUCUCGAUGGCUCUACCAAGAUUUGGUGAUCUGCACCUUAAAAGACUAGAAGAGAUCGAAAGCAACGUUAGGAGUUUCAUGAUCUUACAAUUUGAACAUAAUAAUUUCUGUAGAAACGAGCUUAAGGAACAAAAAAAGCUUUAUGAGUUAUAUGAAUAAAGAGCUCGAUGAUAUGUCUAAAGAAUUUGAUGGUUUGAGAUCCCAAAUUGCUCAUCUUGAGAAGUUAAUAGCUGAAAUAUCGGAUAAGCAGACCACCUUAGUUAAUAAGAUGGCCGCUAAGCCGGAAAACUUUGAAAAUAAAGAUGAAGAUCUAAAGGUUAUUGAUGUGUCCCCUAUUAAAUCUUUGUUUUGCAACAUGAAUCUUGAUAAUGACGGGACUGAAUAUUAUCCACCUUUACCUAGAAGGCGUUCCAGAAAUUCGGAUUUUUUAGAUCUUGAUGCUAAAAUUGAUAAAAGUGGGAUUGAAGAGAUCAAAACAUUAGAUAUUAAUGAACCCACUAUUUUGGAUUUCAAGGAAUUUAAUUAUGAUAAUUUCUCUUUGAUAGAUUGUAUUUCCUUGUUGCAAUCCGUGCUAAAUUCUCGUCAUGCUUAUAGUCAAAAUAAAGCCUUUACCAAACAUAUCGUUGAUGCUUUGAUGCAAUCUUAUGAAGAAAAACUUGAGUUGGAAGUUUCUAUCCCUAGAAAACUUUAUGAUGAGUGGGAACCUACUAUUAAAAUUAAGAUUAAAGAUCAUGAAUGCUAUGCUUUGUGUAAUUUGGGUGCUAGUGUUUCCAUGAUUCCAAAGACUUUGUGCGAUUUGCUAGGUUUCCAUGAUUUUAAUGAUUGCUCUUUAAACUUGCACCUUGCGUAUUCCACCAUUAAGAAACCUAUGGGAAGAAUUAAUGAUGUUCUUAUUGUUGCAAAUAGGAAUUAUGUGCCCGUAGAUUUUAUUGUUCUUGAUAUAGAUUGCAAUCCUUCAUGUCCUAUUAUUCUUGGUAGACCUUUCCUUAGAACGAUCGGUGCAAUUAUUGAUAUGUGGGAAGGGAAUAUUAGAUUCCAAUUUCCGUUAAAGAAAGGAAUGGAACAAUUUCCUAGAAAGAAAAUAAAAUUACCAUAUGAAUCUAUCAUGAGAGCCACUUAUGGAUUGCCUACCAAAGAUGGCAAUACCUAGAUCUAUCCUUGCUUUUAUGCCUAGCUAGGGGCGUUAAACGAUAGCGCUUGUUGGGAGGCAACCCAAUUUUACUUUUAUUUUAUUUUUUUGUUUUUUUCUUCUUUUUAGGAAUAAAUAUUAGUUCUAGCCUCUGGUUAGGUGUAUUUUUAUGUUUUAAUUAGUGUUUGUGCCAAGUUUAACCUAUAGGAUCUUCUUGGAUGAUACUUAUUUGAUCUUGCAGAAAAUUCCAGAAACUUUCUGUUCACGAAACAAUUGUUAAAAAUCACCAGAACGUGAUAAAAUAUUUAUUCCAAUUGCUGAUGAUCAAUAAACAAAUUUUCUAGGUCGUCCUAUUUUGGCUGAUUUUUUAGAGUUCCAGAAGUUUGCGUUAGUUACAGAUUACUACAGACUGUUCUGUUUUUGACAGAUUCUGUUUUUCGUGUGUUGUUUGCUUAUUUUGAUGAAUCUAUGGCUAGUAAAAUAGUUUACAAACCAUAGAGAAAUUGGAAUACAUUAGGUUUAACACCAAUAUAAAUAAAUAAUGAGUUCAUUACAGUACCUUGAAGUGGUCUUUUGUUUUCUCUCGCUAACGGAGCUCACGAGAUUUUCUGCUGAGUUUUGUGUUGUGAAGUUUUCAAGUUUUGGGUAAAAGAUUUGAUGGAUUAUGGAACAAGGAGUGGCAAUAGCCUAAGAUUGGGGAUACCCAUGGCACCCCCAAGAUAAUCUAAGGACACCUAAAAGCCAAAACUUGGGGAUGCCUCGGAAGGCAUCCCCUCUUUCAUCUACUUCCAUCGGUAACUUUACUUGGAGCUAUAUUUUUAUUCACCACAUGAUAUGUGUUUUGCUUGGAGCGUCUUGUAUGAUUUGAGUCUUUGCUUUUUAGUUUACCACAAUCAUAUUUUCUGUACACAUAUUUUGAGAGAGACACACAUGAUUCGGAAAUUAUUAGAAUACUCUAUGUGCUUCACUUAUAUCUUUUGAGUUAUAUAGUUUUUGCUCUAGUACUUCACUUAUAUCUUUUAGAGCACGGUGGUGGAUUUGUUUUAUAGAAACUAUUGAUCUCUCAUGCUUCACUUAGAUUAUUUUGAGAGUCUUAAAUAGCAUGGUAAUUUGCUUAAAUAAUCCUAAUAUGCUAGGUAUUCAAGAUUAGUAAAAACUUUCUUAUGAGUGUGUUGAAUACUAAGAGAAGUUUGGUGCUUGAUGAUUGUUUUGAGACAUGGAGGUAGUGCUAUCAAAGUUGUGCUAGUUGAGUAGUUGUGAAUUUGAGAAAUACUUGUGUUGAAGUUUGCAAGUGCCGUAGCAUGCACGUAUGGUAAACGUUAUGUAACAAAUUUGAAACAUGAGGUGUUCUUUGAGUGUCUUCCUUAUGAGUGGCGGUCGGGGACGAGCGAUGGUCUUUUCCUACCAAUCUAUCCCCCUAGGAGCAUGCGCGUAAUGCUUGGUUUUUGAUGACUUGUAGAUUUUUGCAAUAAGUAUGUGAGUUCUUUAUGACUAAUGUUGAGUCCAUGGAUUAUACGCACUCUCACCUUUCCAUCAUUGCUAGCCUCUUCGGUACCGUGCAUUGCCCUUUCUCACAUUGAGAGUUGGUGCAAACUUCGCCGGUGCAUCCAAACCCCGUGAUAUGAUACGCUAUUUCACACAUAAACCUCCUUAUAUCUUCCUCAAAACAGCCACCAUACCUACCUAUUAUGGCAUUUCCAUAGCCAUUUCGAGAUAUAUUGCCAUGCAACUUUCCACCGUUCCGUUUAUCAUGACAUGUUCAUCAUUGUCAUCUUGCUUUGCAUGAUCAUGUAGUUGACAUAGUAUUUGUGGCAAAGCCACCAUUCAUAAUUCUUUCAUACAUGUCACUCUUAGUUUAUUGCAUAUCCCGUUACACCGCCGGAGGCAUUCAUAUAGAGUCAUACUUUGUUCUAGUAUCGAGUUGUAAUCAUUGAGUUGUAAAUAAAUAGAAGUGUGAUGAUCAUCAUUUUCUAGAGCAUUGUCCCAAGUGAGGAAUGAAUAAAAAAGAGAAAGGCCAUAAAAAAGAGAAGGCCCAAAAAAAUGAGAGAAAAAGAGAGAAGGGACAAUGCUACUAUCCUUUUACCACACUUGUGCUUCAAAGUAGCACCAUGAUCUUCACGAUAGAGAAUCUCUUGUUUUGUCACUUUCAUAUACUAGUGGGAACUUUUCAUUAUAGAACUUGGCUUGUAUAUUCCAACAAUGGGCCUCCUCAAGUGCCCUAGGUCUUCGUGAGCAAGCAAGUUGGAUGCACACCCACUUAGUUUCUUUUGUUGAGCUUUCUUAUAUUUAUAGCUCUAGUGCAUCCGUUGCAUGGCAAUCCCUACUCCUUGCAUUAACAUCAAUCGAUGGGCAUCUCCAUAGCUCAUUGAUUAGCCUCGUUGAUGUGAUACUUUCUCCUUUUUGUCUUCUCCACAUAACCCCCAUCAUUAUAUUCUAUUCCACCCAUAGUGCUAUAUCCAUGGCUCACGCUCAUGUAUUGCAUGAAAGUUGAAAAAGUUUGAGAUUACUAAAGUAUGAAACAAUUGCUUGGCUUGUCAUCGGGGUUGUGCAUGAUGAGAGUAUUCUUGUGUGACGAAAAUGGAGCAUGACUAAACAAUAUGAUUUUGUAGGGAUGAACUUUCUUUGGCCAUGUUAUUUUGAGAAAACAUAAUUGCUUAGUUAGUAUGCUUGAAGUAUUAUUACUUUUAUGUCAAUAUUGAACUUUUAUCUUGAAUCUUUCGGAUCUGAAUAUUCAUACCACAAUUAAGAAGAAUUACAUUGAAAUUAUGUCAAGUAGCAUUCCACUCAAAAAUUCUAUUUUUAUCAUUUACCUACUCGAGGACGAGCAGGAAUUAAGCUUGGGGAUGCUUGAUACGUCUCCAAUGUAUCUAUAAUUUUUUAUUGUUCCAUGCUAUAUUAUAUUCUGUUUUGGACAUUAUUGGGCUUGAUUAUACACUUUUAUAUUAUUUUUGGGACUAACCUAUUAACCGGAGGCCCAGCCCAGAAUUGUUGUUCUUUGCCUAUUUCAGAGUUUCGCAGAAAAACAAUAUCAAGCGGAGUCCAAACGGAAUGAAACCUUCGGGAACGUGAUUUUUGGAACGAACGUGAUCCAGAGGACUUGGACCCUACGUCAAGACAUCAACCAGGAGGGCACGAGGUAGGGGGGCGCGCCUACCCUCCACCCUCGUGGGCCCCCUGUUGCUCCACCGACGUACUCCUUCCUCCUAUAUAUACCUAUGUACCCCCAAACUACCAGAUACGGAGCCAAAAACCUAAUUCCACCGCCGCAACCUUCUGUACCUAUGAGAUCCCAUCUUGGGGCCUGUUUCGGAGCUCCGCCGGAGGGGGCAUCGAUUACGGAGGGCUUCUACAUCAACACCAUAGCCUCUCCGAUGUAGUGUGAGUAGUUUACCUCAGACCUUCGGGUCCAUAUUAUUAGCUAGAUGGCUUCUUCUCUCUUUUUGGAUCUCAAUACAAUGUUCUCCCCCUCUCUCGUGGAGAUCUAUUCGAUGUAAUCUUCUUUUGCGGUGUGUUUGUUGAGACCGAUGAAUUGUGGGUUUAUGAUCAAGUUUAUCUAUGAACAAUAUUUGAAUCUUCUCUGAAUUCUUUUAUGUAUGAUUGGUUAUCUUUGCAAGUCUCUUCGAAUUAUCAGUUUGGUUUGGCCUACUAGAUUGAUCUUUCUUGCAAUGGGAGAAGUGCUUAGCUUUGAGCUCAAUCUUGCGGUGUCCUUUCCCAGUGACAGUAGGGGCAGCAAGGCACGUAUUGUAUUGUUGCCAUCGAGGAUAACAAGAUGGGGUUUAUAUCAUAUUGCAUGAGUUUAUCCCUCUACAUCAUGUCAUCUUGCUUAAAGCGGUACUCUGUUCUUAUGAACAUAAUACUCUAGAUGCAUGCUGGAUAGCGGUCGAUGUGUGGAGUAAUAGUAGUAGAUGCAGGCAGGAGUCGGUCUACUUGUCUCGGACGUGAUGCCUAUAUACAUGAUCAUACCUAGAUAUUCUCAUAACUAUGCUCAAUUCUGUCAAUUGCUCAACAGUAAUUUGUUCACCCACCGUAAAUACUUAUGCUCUUGAGAGAAGCCACUAGUGAAACCUAUGGCCCCCGGGUCUAUUUUCCAUCAUAUUAAUCUUCCAACACUUAGCUAUUUCUGGGGCCAUUUUUAUUUUACUUUCUUUACUUUGCAUCUUUAUCAUAAAAAUACCAAAAAUAUUAUCUUAUCAUAUCUAUCAGAUCUCACUCUCGUAAGUGACCGUGUAGGGAUUGACAACCCCUUAUCGCGUUGGUUGUAAGGAUUUAUUUGUUUGUGUAGGUGCAAGGGACUCGUGCGUGGCCUCCUACGGGAUUGAUACCUUGGUUCUCAAAAACUGAGGGAAAUACUUACGCUACUUUGUUGCAUCACCCUUUCCUCUUCAAGGGAAAACCAACGCAGUGCUCAAGAGGUAGCAGCCCUCAGCUCCGGUUGCCGUAGAUGAAUAGUCGGCCUAUGACAACGCCGCUGGGGCGCAUUUCCAAGCCAAGCAGGCCAACAUUGGCACAUUCUACGCCGGUCAUGGCGGUGACUGUGGGGGCGGCCAUGGCCGUGGCUAUGGGGGUGGUUGUGGUCAUGGCCGUGGUGGUGAAUUGAGGUGGAGGUGGUCGUGGCCCCGACAAGUUUAACUAAUUAGUGUGUAAUUUAACUAAUUAUCAAGUGUUGUAUGAAUCUAAGUCGCAAGGCCACUAAUUUUUCUCUCCAUGCCUAUGAAUAAAAUCGAUGCUUCCGCACUUCUUUUAUGAGUUCAAUGAGUUCGUCUGAAUAUUUUAGAGAAGAAUAUGUGCUCCAAUAUCAUAUGGGCCUACUUAUGGGACAAAUAUAAAACUCACAUUAAGACAAUUUUGUAUUUCCGUUUUCGCUCGACAGUCUCCAUAUAUCUAUGAGCAAGUACAAUAUUGGGUUAUAAGUCCGUUUACAUGACACUAUUUUCUAGAAACGUUUACAUGACACUUGUGCCUAUGUGGAGAGAGAGACAAGAAAAAAAUGAAGGAGUGAGCUCUCAGACUACCCACAGGGGGAGUAACAUAGGUGGUAACAUCACACAUAUCUAGAUAAAAUAGAUGAUGUGACAAGCAAUUAAUGAGGAAAGAGAGACAUGUGAUAACAUAGCUAGUUACUAGUAAUAUGAGUAACAUCACAUAUACCAAGUCAAGAUGAGUCUGUAACCUAAUAAAUGAUAUGUUGCAUGACACCACACACAUGUUACUUCCCACUAUAAAGGUAGUAACAUAGACUACUUCCUCCGUCUCGGUUUACAGGGCAUGCACGUCGUUCUAGGUUGAGAAUUUAACUAGCAAUAUAUGUGUUAUAUGUGAUGAAAAAUAUAUGUUUCGAAACUACAUCCUAUUAAGAAUCCAAUGAUAUACUUUGGUGACAUAUAACUCAUAUUUAGUUAGUCAAAUGGAUGACCUAGAACUACGCACACGCCUUCUAAAUCGAGACGGAGGGAGUAGUAACAUAUGCAUGUUACUAGUCUAAGUUACUUCCCACUGUGGCUAGUCUCAUGCAAGAGCCGGCCUCUACACGUGCUCCUAGAUGAACGCAUUUAAUGAGAAGAAAGAGAUAGAGAGAAAGUGAAAAAAGUUGUGGACUUAUAGCCAAAACUAUUGUAUGAGUAAUGAAUAUUGUUAAUACUUGAUGACAUGGCAAGUCCAAUAGCCAGCAGCUGGCUAUAUUAUUAACCAUGCUCUAUAUGAAACAUGUGUUAUCCUUUAUAUGUGAUGUAAAGGCUGCCCUGCCAAUGUAGCACGAAAAAAAACCCCCUCGGGUGCUCCCACGAUCGCUAGGUGAUCUGGCGGCGACGGCGGACGAGCGCUCGUGAGAUGGCGGACUCGGCGGCGGGGAUCCCACCAGAGGGGAGGCGAUUGACUACAGUAGGGAGCCAGGAGGUGGGCCUCUCCAGCGUGAGGGAGUGGGAGGAGAUCAGGAAGAGAUCGAGGCAGAUCCUUCGGGGAUCGAAGGACCGGGCCUGAUACUUAAUUCGGGCGCAGAGGAGAGCGAAGGAAAUCGAAGCUGUUUUGGCAGGUGAGAUCCAGUUGUCUCCUGGGAGGGAAAGCGGGAUAGGAUUGGGGAGGGCCAUGCAUCCCGAUGGAUCAGAGGGGUAUGGAUCGAAGGGAAAGGGCGUGGUGUGCGUUCGGGUUAUACAGGCAGCUUCGGUUGAUUCACCAAUAUGUUUAUUCCUUCCGGAUUUUAGCAUGAGAGAUCAACAAGAUUUGAAGGAGGAGUCGAUUUUAGGCCCAGAUAUUACCUUUUGUGGAUCAAUCAGGGGAGAGGGAGUUGUUUUUGCUGUAGUUAUUAGGAAACUGCUCAUUCAUGGCAUUUUAUUCUUGAUUAAUAGCAUCAAAUUCCUUUAUGAGAUUGUUUGGAGGGGAACAUUGGCCUGCUAUAUCUAUGGGCACGGGACAGGUCGGGCCUUUUCACCUACCCUACCACUGCACACUCAUUUGUUCUUUGAUCCCUCCAUACCCUGCGGCGGCUUAGAGAGGUGGUCCAUGGCGGGUCAGGGGGGGUUUGUGAGUAGUGCUUUGGGGAAGAAAGUUGUGAGUGGUGUGAGUUCCAGGGGGUGACGGAUGCAGCGACGAGAAUGCGCUCUUCAUUGGCCAUCGACCAAGCUGGUUCAUCUCUUGGUCGGCCUCUUGUCAUUGACAUGGAGGCUACCCGCAAGACUGUCUGCGGGCUCCUGGUGGUGGGGCGCCUCCUGUCCCCUUUCCAGGUCAACCCGAGAUUCAUAGUCGACGACCUCCGGAGCACAGCUUGGAAGAACCAGGGUGUGGUCACCAUCCAGGAGGUGGCCAGCAAAGACGGGAGGUUCAUCCUCAAUUUUGCCGCUGAGAGUGACCGUCGGUUUGUGCUUGAGGAGCAGCCAUGGCACUUCAAGCGGGACGGCCUCAUCUUCGCCGAGUUCGACGGCAAGGGCGACCCUGCGGAGGUCGACCUUGGCGUCAUGACCAUAUGGGUUAAGGUACGAAAUCUCCCGUUCGAGUUUAAGAUGGAGAGUGUAGGGUGGUCUCUCGAGGAUCAACUGGGAGAGGUGCUGGAGGUUUCGCACCGUAACCAUGUAAUUGUUGAGAAAUACAUGUGUGUGCAUGUGAAGAUAUUAUUGCAUGAGCCUCUGAAAUGCUCUGUAGAGAUUACCCCUUUAGGUAGUUCAAAGAUCUUUAAAUAUGAUGUAAAGUAUGAGAAACUACCUUUGUACUAUGAGUGUUGUGGGAUAGUGUGUCAUACAUCAGAGGUUUUGUAAAAUUCCAAGAGAGGAGAGAGUAGUUUGUUUUCUAAGAAACCUUAGUGUUGAGCCCUACUGGAAGAGCCAAGGUACUAGCAGGAGGGGUCUCCUCUUCGGGAACUACGUUCGCGGCAGCAACAACUCGACUACAGGCAUUGUCAACAACAACAUCGCCAAGGCCACAGACGUCAUCAAGGUGGCCACUGCCGUGAGCGGGCUCACGGUCUCCGAUAAGGGGGCCGCUACUUCCGUCAGGACGAACACCGGCCAGGAGGGCCGGACUCAGGGGAUCAUGGCGCCUACCCCGGCGGGUGCGCCGCUUGGUCAUGAGGACCAGGCGGGCACGCUAGCUGGUCCUGCCGGGGGAGGCCAGGAGGUCCAGGGGUGCGUGACCAGGCUGGAGUCGCGCCAGAAUGCGGAGGUUGACCAAAGUCAGCAUUGUUAUGAUGUUGUACAUGCCCAAAGUACACAUGCAGGUCACGUGGCCAUGAUUUCUCACGCUCAAGUGAUGGCCAGGAAAACUCCAGUGGAUGGAGAUGAUGCUGGCGAGCUUUUUUUUCAGCCGGGAGUGUUGGAGGCGUUGUCUAGCGCUGUUGCAGCGAAAAUCGCUAUGGCCGGCGGUGAUACAUUGAAUAAUGCUCUACCCUUUAAAUUCAGUGCAGCAAAAAAUCCUAUGCGGGGCAACUCAGAAAAGAAAGAUAAAAAGAAAGGGGGGGCAAACAGAGUUGAAGAUGCCCGCAAGCAAGUGAUAGGGAAAAAAUAGGGGGGCAUUCUUUUGCGGCUCGUCCAACGGGCAAUGACUUAGAGAUUUCUUUUGAGAAAGAGAUGGAUAGUUAUGAGCGCAUAUUAUAUGGUGAUGUAAACGUCUCAUCCAAACGGGUGUGCACGGGUAGAGUGUAACGCCCACGAUGCGGCUAUAUCUCCCACGUGUCGAGGCACGACUUAGAGGCAUAACCGCAUUGUGGUUUUGUCGCAAAAAGGGUCAUCUUCACACAAUCCCAUGUAAUGAACAAGAAUGGGAUAAAGAGUUGGCUUACAAUCGCCACUUCACACAAUACAUAAAUAUAAUUCAUACAUCAUCCAAAAUACACACAUAGACCGACUACGGUCAAGAUCCAAAUGAAAAUAAGAUAACCCCAAAUGCUAGAUCCCCGAUCGUCCCAACUGGGCUCCACUACUGAUCAUCAGGAAAAGACACAUAGUAACGACCACGUUCCUCAUCGAACUCCCACUUGAGGUCAAUAUCAUCAACUGCACUGGCAUCGUCGGCACCUGCAACUGUUUUGGUAGAAUCUGUGGGUCACGAGGACUCAGCAAUCUCACACCCGCGAGAUCAAGACUAUUUAAGGUUAUAGGUAAGGAUGGUGAAAUGGGGUGGAGCUGCAGCAGGCACUAAGCAUAUAUGGUGGCUAACAUACGCAAAUGAGAGCGAGGAGAGAAGCAACGGAACGGUCGUCAACUAGCAAUGACCAAGAAGUGAUCCUGAACUCCUACUUACGUUCAUGCAUAACUCAAACCGUGUUCACUUCCCGGACUCCGCCGAGAAGAGACCAUCACGGCUACACACACAGUUGAUGUAUUUUAAUUGGGUCAAGUGACAAGUUCUCUACAACCGGACAUUAACAAAUUCCCAUCUGCCUCAUAAUCACGGGCACGGCUUUCGAAAGAUAAUACCCUGCAGGGGUGUCCCAACUUAGCCCAUUAUAAGCUCUCACGGUCAACGAAGGAUAAACCUUCUCCCGGAAAGACCCGAUCAGUCUCGGAAUCCCGGUUUACAAGACAUUUCGACAAUGGUAAAACAAGACCAGCAAAGCCGCCCGAAUGUGCCGACAAAUCCCGAUAGGAGCUGCACAUAUCUCGUUCUCAGGGCACACCGGAUAAGUCAAGCUACGAGUAAAACCAGACCUCGAGUUUCCCCGAGGUGGCCCCGCAGGCUGCUCGGUUCGGACCAACACUCGAAGGAGCACUGGCCCGGGGGGGUUAAAAUAAAGAUGACCCUCGGGCUCGCGAAAACCCGGGGGAAAAAGGCUUAGGUCGCAAAUGGUAAAACCAAGGUUGGGCCUUGCUGGAGGAGUUUUAUUCAAGGCGAACUGUCAAGGGGGUCCCAUAAAUCACCCAACCGCGUAAGGAACGCAAACUCAAGAAACAUAAUACCGGUAUGACAGAAACUAGGACGGCAAGAGUGGAACAAAACACCAGGCAUAAGGCCGAGCCUUCCACCCUUUACCAAAUAUAUAGAUGCAUUAAUCAAAUAAGAGAUAUUGUGAUAUCCCAACAUAUCCAUGUUCCAACAUGGAACAAACUUCAACUUCACCUGCAACUAGCAACGCUAUAAGAAGGGCUGAGCAAAAGCGGUAACAUAGCCAAACAACGGUUUGCUAGGAAAGGAUGGUCAGAGGCUGACAUGGCAAUAUGGGAGGCAUGAUAUAGCAAGUGAUAGGUAGCGCAACAUGGCAAUAGAACGAACAACUACAGGAACUUAACAUGGCAAAACAAGGCAUGGCAGUGUUCUACUAAAUGCAUAUGACAAAAGUCCCUUACUGACCAUAAGCCAAAAAGGACCAGAAGAUAUAAUGGCAACCAUGCAAACAUAGCAAGUUUCGUUAACAGGUUUCAGACUUAGCAGAAAACAGAGCAUGGCAGAAACAACAAUAUGAAGGCAUCUUGGUGAGCUUGACGCACUCACUACAGAGCAAUGCAUGACAAAAUAAGCAUACCAACAGCAAGAUGGCACCUUUAUGAAGCUAUCCAUGGCAACAUAAAAUACAUACCAUGUAUGAAACAACUAGAACAAGCUUGGCAAAAUUGCAUAUCAUGUAAACAAUCUGCCAGAAAUAUUUUAUAGCAAAAGUAGAGCAAGAUUGAGUCAUGCUAUGGCACUCCAUAAUUGCAAACAAGGGUAGGAAUGGAUCAAUUACAACAAUACCUACAAAACAUCCUUACUGAACAUCUCCAAAAUAUGCAUGGAUCUCUCUGUAGCAUCAAGUUUACAUGGCAACAAAAUAACAGCAGACAAAGACUUGGAGGAAUUACUAAGUCCCUGAAAUCAGAAACAUUACGGAGCCUAGUGUGCAUGCUUGUGCUAGUCACCACAGAGAUCAUAAAAAUACAUGGCAUACACCACUGGAAAUAUGGCAUGGCAUACAACAAAACACAUGUAGAGCUCAUGCCCAUAAGAUGCACAGAUUAAAUGCAACAAAAAUAACAAAUCCUCAAGUUCUGCUAAGUAACAGCAGAUAACAGCAAGUAGCACUCUUGCACCAGAGAUUUGGGCAUCAAGAUGAGCUCAAAUGAACCUGGUGCAAUGGAACAAAAUUAAGAGCAUCACGAGGCGAACAUUUCGAUAUAUUACACGCGCGAAAUAGAGCUAUAUGCAGAGAGUUAUGAUGCUAUGAAGAUGGGCACAUACUGUAAAAUUAUAAGGACUUGGGAUUUUCGGGGAGAGGUGAAAAAGUCGACCCGUUCUCAGAUCCGAUCAGGGCCGGCUCGGUUUCGACGGUGGCCGGAGCUGGGCUGCUGCCGGCGGCGGCGUGGAGGAGGAGGAGGCGCCGGGGCCCGGGGGAGAUGGCGGCGAGGAGGAAGGAGGACGGCGGCGAGGGUGGCGUCGUGGCCGCAGGCNNNNNNNNNNNNNNNNNNNNNNNNNNNNNNNNNNNNNNNNNNNNNNNNNNNNNNNNNNNNNNNNNNNNNNNNNNNNNNNNNNNNNNNNNNNNNNNNNNNNNNNNNNNNNNNNNNNNNNNNNNNNNNNNNNNNNNNNNNNNNNNNNNNNNNNNNNNNNNNNNNNNNNNNNNNNNNNNNNNNNNNNNNNNNNNNNNNNNNNNNNNNNNNNNNNNNNNNNNNNNNNNNNNNNNNNNNNNNNNNNNNNNNNNNNNNNNNNNNNNNNNNNNNNNNNNNNNNNNNNNNNNNNNNNNNNNNNNNNNNNNNNNNNNNNNNNNNNNNNNNNNNNNNNNNNNNNNNNNNNNNNNNNNNNNNNNNNNNNNNNNNNNNNNNNNNNNNNNNNNNNNNNNNNNNNNNNNNNNNNNNNNNNNNNNNNNNNNNNNNNNNNNNNNNNNNNNNNNNNNNNNNNNNNNNNNNNNNNNNNNNNNNNNNNNNNNNNNNNNNNNNNNNNNNNNNNNNNNNNNNNNNNNNNNNNNNNNNNNNNNNNNNNNNNNNNNNNNNNNNNNCACGGGACACGUGGCGGACGCGGGGUGGCUGCGGGAUCCGUCCGGCGGCGACCGGACGUGUCCGGCGGCGGCGGGGAAAAUGCUAGGGUUUGAUCUGCGUAUUAUUUCGGGAGGGGAGGCAUAUAUAUAGGUAGAGGGAGCUAGGAGGCUCCAAAUGAGGUGCGGUUUUCGCCCACACGAUCGUGAUCGAACGACCUAGAGCAUGGAAGAGAGUUUGGUGGGUUUUGGGCUGUUUAGAGAGGGGUUUUUUCUGCCCACACAAACGGACUUUGCGGUUACCCGGUUAACCGUUGGAGUAACAAACGACCUCCAAAUAGAACGAAACUUGACCGGUGGCCUACCAGUGGUAUACCAAGGCCACUUGACAAGCCUCGGUCCAUUCCGAGAACGUUUGACACCCGCUCGCGAAAGAAAAACAAGAGGGUGCGCCGGAGGAGGUAGGAGUGCCGGAUUGCAAAACGGACAACGGGGAAAAUGCUCGGAUGCAUGAGACGAACACGUAUGCAAAUGCAAUGCACAUGAUGACAUGAUAUGAGAUGCAUGACAUGAACAAAAUGCAAAACGAAAAACAAAACCCGACCACGAAGGGAAUAUCAUAACACAUGGCCGAAAAUGGCACGAGUCGGAGUUACAAAUAUGGAAAGUUACAUCCGGGGUGUUACAACACUCCACCACUACGAGAGGAUCUCGUCCCGAGAUCUAGGACUGAAAGAACUCCGGAUAUUCGGAACGGAGAUGGUCCUCGCGUUCCCAGGUGGCUUCCCGGUCGGAAUGGUGCGACCACUUCACUUUCAGGAAUUUGAUUGACUUGUUGCGAGUCUUGCGCUCGGUUUCUUCAAGAAUGGCAACGGGGUGCUCAUGAUAAGACAGAUAUUCUUGAAGGUCAAUCUCUUCGAAGUUGAUGGUGCGCUCGGGCAUCUUGAAGCACUUGCGGAGCUGUGACACGUGGAACACGUCGUGCACGUUCGCGAAGUUGGAAGGAAGCUCAAGUUGAUAGGUGAGGUCGCCUCUUUUGCCAAUGAUCUUGAAAGGACCCACGUAUCUAGGGGCAAGCUUCCCUUUGAUACCGAAGCGACGAGUGCCUUUCAUUGGAGAGACGCGGAGGUAGACAUGGUCUUCGAUCUCGAAAGCCACAUCACGGUGCUUACUAUCAUAGUAACUCUUCUGUCGCGAUUGCGCGGCUUUGAGAUUUUCACGGAUGACUUUACACAUUUCUUCAGCCUCUGUGAUUAAGUCAUUGCCAAGAAGUUGGCGUUCACUAGUCUCUGACCAAUUGAGAGGAGUACGGCACUUUCUGCCAUAAUCUCGAAUGGGGCCUUGCCCGAACUUGCUUGGAAGCUGUUGUUGUAGGAGAAUUCAGCAUAUGGAAGACAAUCUUCCAAUUUCAUGCCAAAGGAAAUGACACAAGCCCUGAGCAUAUCUUCAAGAAUUUGAUUGACUCGCUCGACUUGGCCACUAGUUUGAGGAUGGAAAGCUGUGCUGAAGCGAAUGUUUGUGCCCAUGGCCUUCUGGAAGGAGUCCCGGAACUUAGAGGUGAAGAUGCUUCCACGAUCUGAAGAAAUCAAUUGUGGAAUGCCGUGCAAGGAGACAAUUCUGGAGGUGUAUAGCUCUGCCAACUGAGCUGCUGUGAUAGACUCUUUGAUUGGAAGGAAAUGAGCCACUUUAGAAAGCUUGUCGAUGACAACGAAGAUAGCAUCAUUUCCACGCUUAGACUUUGGAAAUCUAGUCAAGAAGUCCAUUUCGAUAUGAUCAAACUUCCAUUCUAGGAUAGCAAGAGGUUGGAGGAGACCAGCUGGUCGUUGGUGUUCUACUUUCACUCUUCGACAGACAUCGCAUUCAUUCACGAACUGAGCAAUUUCUCGCUUCAUUCGAGUCCACCAAUACGACUGUUUGAGGUCAUAGUACAUCUUCGUACUUCCAGGAUGAAUGGAAAGGAGAGAAUUGUGCGCCUCGUUCAUUAUGACUUUCCUUAGAUCACCUUUAGGAACCACAAUCCGGUCCUCGAAGAAUAAAGUGUCUCUGUCAUCAAUGCGGUAGCACUUGUAUUUGGAAAGACCCUUGUCGAUACCACGUUUCACCUUCUUCACCAUGGCAUCAAGAAGUUGUGCCUCACGAAUUUGAUCUUCCAAAGUAGGAGAGACUAUGAGGUUGGCAAGAAAGCCUUGAGGAACAACUUGGAGAUUCAGCUUGCGGAAAGCUUCACAAAGAUCCGGUUGGAAUGGCUUGAGAAUUAAGCUGUUGCAAUAAGCCUUCCUGCUUAAAGCAUCUGCAAUGACAUUGGCCUUGCCUGGAGUAUAUUCAAUACUCGGAUUGUACUAUUGAAUCAUUUCGACCCAUCGAGUCUGCCUGAGGUUGAGGUUGGGUUGAGUGAAGAUGUACUUGAGACUCUUGUAAUCGGUGAAUAUGUCCACUUUUCUUCCCAGCAAGAGAUGUCUCCACGUUAUUAAUGCAUGGACAACUGCCGCCAACUCAAGAUCGUGAGUGGGGUAGUUCUUCUCAUUGGGCUUCAACUAACGAGAGGUAUAGGCCACAACUUUCUUCUCUUGCAUUAACACAGCACCGAGACCUUGGAGAGAAGCAUCACAGAAAACUUCAAAUGGCUUGGAUUCGUCGGGAGGAGUCAAGACAGGAGCUGUGACUAGUUUCUCUUUGAGAGUGUUUAAAGCAACGUCACACUCAGGAGACCAGACAUACUUCACAUGCUUCUGGAGGAGGUUGGAAAGAGGCUUUGCAAUCUUGGAGAAAUUCUCAACGAAUCUUCGGCAAUAGCUUGCAAGACCAAGAAAACUGCGGAGCUGCUUGACAUUCUGAGGAGGUUCCCAAUUCACAAUUGCAGACACCUUCUCGGGAUUAACAGCGAUGCCCUUGGCAGAGAUGAUGUGACCAAGGUAAAGAACUUCAUCAAGCCAAAACUCACAUUUUUAAAACUUCGCAUAGAAUUGAUACUCUCUGAGCUUGUCGAGCACCAAUCGCAAAUGUUUGGCAUGGUCCUUCUUAUUCUUGGAGAAGACCAAUAUAUCAUCGAGAUACACCAGAACGAAUUCAUUGGUAUAGGAGUUGAAGAUGAAAUUCAUCAUCCGAGAGAAUGUUGGAGGAGCAUUGACAAGGCCGAAAGACAUGAAAGUAUAUUCAUAAGAACCAAAGUUUGUUCUGAAUGCUGUCUUGGGAAUAUCUUCUUCACGAAUGCGAAUCUGAUGAUAACCCAUAUGGAGAUCAAGCUUGGAGAAUACUUUGGCACCUUUGAGUUGCUCGAAUAGCUCAUUGAUGUUGGGAAGUGGAUACUUGUUCUUGAUUGUCUUCUUGUUCAAUGGACGGUAGUCGACACAAAGUCGGUCCAUGCCAUCCUUCUUCUAGACAAAAAGAACACCACAACCCCAUGGAGAUGAACUCGGUCUGAUCAAACCCAGACGCUCUUGUUCAUCGAGUUGUUUCUUCAAUUCCUUCAACUCCUUGGGUCCAAGCUUGUAUGGACACUUGCAAACGGGUUCAGUGCCCGGCUCAAGAUCGAUAACGAACUCAACUGGCUGGUGAGGAGGCAUACCCGGUGUAAGGGCAUAUUUAUCCCUAAGAUUUUUGGUGAUUGAUGACAAUGCUUUUGUGGACUAAUCGUGUGCGUUGAGUGUUUUUCAGAGAUUCAUCCUUUUGGCACGAGACGAUUUCCUCCCCUCGGAGCUUAAAGCGAAGACGGUGUAGUCCUUUCGGAUUAGUUUGGUGGACUAGUUUCAUAGGGAUCACCGUACUAUCAAGAGGGGGUCCGUUUUGGAAAGGCUAGGGCGGAAUCAUCACGUACACUUCCUUUUCCCCUCCCUCCGAGCCUUUCCGUUUCGAUGAUGGGCUUGGUUCUCCUCUCUUUGUGCCCUCUCUGGUCCCAGCGGUAGUACCGCGGGCCAGAGCGGUAGUACCGCUUGGGUGCUACAAGCGGUAGUACCGCUCUGGAGCGGUAGUACCGCCCAGAGCAGUAGUACCGCUAGUAGCCCCCAUGUGUGUACUAACUCUGGUCCCAGCGGUGGUACUGCGGGACGGAGCGGUAGUACCGCUUGGGUGCCUCAAGCGGUAGUACCGCUCUGGGCGCGGUAGUACCGCUCCAGAGCAGUAGUACCGCUAGUGGCCCCAAGCCGUAGUACCGCGGUGGUCUCGUGCUAGUACCGCCUCGAUUCAAGGGCUCCUUUUUCGUGUCGAGUUUUAUGGUACUGGCCGCGGCUGUGGGGGGCCGUAGUACCGCUCCUGUGCGGUAGUACCGCCCACCCUCCGCGGUAGUACCGCUGUGGGCCAAGCGGUAGUACCGCGUUGUGUAGCGGUAGUACCGCUUAUAGUGGCGAGCGGUAGUACCGCUGGCAUAGCGGUACUACCACUCUCUUCGGGGCAGAAGGGGGGUAACGGUUGGUUUGUUCCCCCCACUAUAUAAAGGGGUCUUCUUCCCCAAAGUUGACAUCACCUCUUCCCCCAAAAAGCUCCAUUGUUGCUCCAAGCUCCAUUUUCGCCCGAUCUCUCUCCCUAGCCAAUCAAACUUGUUGAUUUGCUCGGGAUUGGUUGAGAAGGCCACGAUCUACACUUCCACCAAGAGAAAUUUGAUUCCCCCCACUUAUCCCUAGCGGAUCUUGUUACUCUUGGGUGUUUGAGCACCCUAGACGGUUGAGGUCACCGCGGAGCCAUAGUCCAUUGUGGUGAAGCUUUGUGGUGUCGUUGGGAGCCUCCAAUUAAGUUGUGGAGAUUGCCCCAACCUUGUUUGUAAAGGUCCGGUCGCCGCCUUCAAGGGCACCAAUAGUGGAAUCACGGCAUCUCGCAUUGUGUGAGGGUGUGAGGAGAAUACGGUGGCCCUUGUGGCUUCUUGGGGAGCAUUGUGCCUCCACACCGCUCCAACGGAGACGUACUUCCCUUCAAAAGGAAGGAACUUCGGUAACACAUCCUCGUCUUCACCGGCUCCACUCUUGGUUAUCUCGUUCCUUUACUUUAGCUAGUUUACUUGUGUUAUAUCUCUUACUUGCUUGCGUGCUUGUUGUCGUUGCAUCAUAUAGGUUGCUCACUUAGUUGCAUAUCUAGACAACCUAUUUUGAUGCAAAGUUUAAUUUGGUAAAGAAAAGCUAAAAAAAAUUGUUAGUUGCCUAUUCACCCCCCCCCCUCUAGUCAACUAUAUCGAUCCUUUCAAUUGGUAUCAGAGCCUCGUCUCUUUAUUAAGGACUUUACCGUCCAAAGAGUAUGGUUGACGUCGUAGACGGUGCGGAGGAGCACUCCGGUGAGAAUCCAGUCUCGUCUAUGGGAGAUGGGGGAACCGCGGUCUCUCGUGAGGAAUUCAAUGUGGCGUUGGACACAUUGAAAACCUCCAUGACGACCAAGGUCGAAAGCAUGUUGAAUAAAUUCUUAGAAGGGCUUAAACUUACCACUGCACCGUUGAAAGUGGGUGAUCCCGCUAACAAGGUGACGGAUGCUACCUCCGACAAGGGGGAAGCUUCGAGCGAGAAGGCUCCUUGUUCUAGUGAUAAAAAUGGGACCGGCAUCUUUGCCCAUGUGGAACCUCCACCUGUCUAUGGUGGACCACUCCCUUCCACUCAUUUGAAUCAUGUCGGCCCGGCCCCUAAGAUUGAGAAGAAUGUAGAUUUUGAUUCUUGGGUCUAUCAUUUUAAGCGUCAUUUAAAUCAUGUGAACACUAACCUUUGGAGAAUCAUUGAAGAAGGCUUUUAUCCGCAUGACCGAAGUAACUUCACUCCUAGAGAAGUUGUGGAUCAUCAAUUCAAUGAAAAUGCUCUCUUCAUCAUCCAAGAAGCCAUCCCACCCGAAGAUCUUCCUCAUCUCCGGCCUUACACCGUGGCCAAAGAUGCGUGGCUCCAAGUUGUUCCCCUUUAUCGGGGAAGCGCAAGCAUUCAACGCUCCAACUAUGAAGCGGUGCAAGAUGAAGCCGACGAGUUUGCAAUGAAAGAAGAUGACGAACCUCGUGAGCUUUUUCGGAGAGUAACCAAACUCGCGGUCUCGCUCCAAGAUCAUGGAAGCAAGGACACGGAUGACAAUUGGAUCAAGCGCAAGUUCCUCAAGGCAAUGAUGCCCUACCACAAAGCCAUGUCCUCCGUAAUUCAUCAAAGGCCGGACUUUCACACCUUGUCCUCAAGUGAAGUGUUGGAUGAGUUUGUGGCUAUGAGCAUCUUGGACAAGACCGCCAACAAUGCGGUUCUUCGCUCUCAAAGAGUUAAGAAGCCCAACCUUGCUCUAAAGGCCAAGGUUAGUAUGGAGGAAGAGGAUGAAGAGGAAGAAGAGGAGGGCAACCUCGAAGAUACGAAGUAUGCCUAUCAUGAACACAUGGCUCUUGCUUCAAGGCAAUUUUGGAGCAAGAAGAACACAAGGCCAAACUUCAACAAAAGCAACUCAAGUGGCGCAAAGGGCAAGCAACGGAUGAGGACUUGCUUCAAUUGUGGCAAUGUUAGCCACUUUGUUGCGGAGUGCCCUUACGAGAAGAGGGAAGACAAUGGUGGCAAGCUCAUUAGAAAAGACAAGGCCAAGUCGUUCCCCAACAAGAGCAACUUCACCAAGAAGACUCCUCCCAAGGCGUUGGUGGUUCAAGAAGAGUACAAUGAGGAUGAUGACGAUGAUGAAGAUAGUGAGUCAGUUGCCAUGGCCUCCGUUGCCAUUGCGAAGACUCCACGGGUGUCUCUCUUCGACUCACCCAAUGAGAACAUCACCGCCAAGUGCCUCAUGGCUAAAGCCACCAAUAAGGUAACCUCCAACAUCAAAACUACCAUCAUUGAUCAUCCUUCUUCGACGGAUAGCAUUGAUGAACAUGAGGGGACAAAUGUGGAGGAAAAUGAGUUUGAGAUCUUUAUGGGUAAACUCAAGGGUAAAUCCAAGAAGCACUUCGUUGCUCUCUUGGAACAACUUGGUGAAGCCAAUGACAUGAUCGAGGCUCACGAAGAUACCAUCUCUAAGAUGGAGGGGCAUAGUCGUGACUAUGCCGAUGAGAUUUCGGAUCUUUCCAAUGCUCUUGAUGAAGAGCGUGGUCUUCGUUUGGCUCUUGAGGAUUCAUACAACGAUGAUCAUGCUAAGUUAAAGAAAGAUCUUGAUCAUGCUCUUGUUGUGUCUCGUGUGCUAAACUCCGAGAAGGCAAAACUUGGGGUUGAUCUUGCUAGACUCAAAGAGGAGUUUGGCAUUCUCGACAAGGCUCACAAAGUCUUGAAGGGUGUUCAUGCUAGCCUCAAGGAGUCUCAUGAUCAACUCCAAGUGAAGCUAACAAAGGAGAAAGCCACCUUUCCUCAUAUGGUGUUAAUUGAUAAUGCAAAUGCUACUAACCCGUGUUGUGAGCAUGUGCAUCUUGUUGAGGAGAAUGCUAAGUUGAAGGAGUAACUUGAGAAAGGCCUUGUGUCAUGCAUACAAGGUGAGAAGAACCUCAACACCCUCUUGAGCAAUCAAAAGGAAGUUGUGGCCAAGGAGGGGAUUGGGUUCACACCCAAUCCCAAGAACAAGAAGAAGAAUGACAAGACCAGGCGACCUCCUCCUCUCAAGCAAACUUUUGUGAAGGAGGGAGAGGGUGCUUCCAAGGAGAAGAAGAACAAUGCAAAGGGUGGCGGUGUCAAGAAGAGCAAUGCCACUCCUUCCAACAAAGCCGGCGACUUUAAUCCUUCUUAUGUGUUAUGCCGUGCUAGUGAUGGGCAUGUUUAUGCCAAAUUCGUUGGUUCUCCUUAUGAGUACAUUGAAUGGUCUAUUUGGGUUCCUAAGACCCUUAUUACUAACAUCAAAGGACCCAUUACAAAGUGGGUACCUAAAACCAAGCAUUGAUCUCUUGUAGGUGUUUGCUUCCGGUGGGGGAUCAUGGUUGCUCGAUAGUGGAGCUACAAAUCAUAUGACCGGAAGCAAGGACUUGGUGGUGGACGUGCACAAGAUUCCAUCUAUGCCCACCAAUGUCGAGUGGGGUGAUGCCUCGUCUUCUAAGGUAUUGGGACUCGGCAAAGUUGUCAUUUCUCAUGAUCUCACGAUCGAGAAGGUCAUGCUAGUUGAGUCCCUUGCAUACAAUUUACUUUCCGUUCGUCAACUUGCUAUCAUGGGUUUUGCCACCUUCUUUGAUAUUGAUACCGUGGCCCUCUUGUGGAGCAAGACUCUUAAAGUAGCCUUUGUUGGGCAUGUCGAGAAUGGUCUCUAUGUGAUUAACUUUUCAAAGCGACCCACUAAGACCGCGACAUGCCUAAUGGCUAAAGUUGACGUGGGAUGGCUUUGGCAUCGCCGUUUAGCCCAUGUCAAUAUGAGAUCUUUGCAAAGUCUUCUCAAGGGGGACCAUGUCCAUGGACUAACGAACGUUAGUUUUUCCAAAGAUCGUGCUUGCAGUGCUUGUAUCGAAGGAAAGCUUCAUGAGAAGGCUCACCCUCCCACGACUCUUAUUUACUCGAAGAGGCCGUUGGAGCUCCUUCAUUUGGAUCUCUUUGGGCCUCCAUCCUUUGAUAGUCUUGGGGGUAGAAAGUAUUGCUUGGUAAUUGUGGAUUAUUAUUCUAGAUACACGUGGGUGUAUUUCUUCAAGAGGAAGAGUGAGACCCAACAAACAGUCAUUGACUUUGCAAAUGAAGCCCAACGUCAACACAAUGCAAAGAUCUUGACAAUAAGAAGUGACAACGGCACCGAGUUCAAGAACUACACCUUGGAUGAGUUUCUCAGUGAUGAGGGGAUCAAGCAUCAAUAUUCCGCACCUUACACCCCUCAACAAAAUGGUGUUGCGGAGAGGAAGAAUCGAACGUUGAUGGAUGCGGCAAGGACCAUAAUGGCGGAGUUCAAGUCUCCAUACAACUUUUGGGCCGAAGCCAUCAACACCGCGUGUCAUGCUUCAAAUCGGCUCUAUCUUCGCAAAGGCUUGAACAAGACACCAUAUGAGAUCCUCACCGGUAACAAGCCCAACCUCAAGUACUUUCGGGUGUUCGGGUGUAAGUGUUUCAUUCUCAAGAAAGGUGUUCGUUUGUCUAAAUUUGAGACUAGAGCUCAUGAGGGCAUAUUUGUUGGUUAUGCUACAAACUCCCAUGCUUACCGUGUUCUCAAUAAGUCCACGGGACUUAUUGAGGAGACGUGUAACAUGGAGUUUGAUGAAAAUAACGGCUCCCAAGUGGAGCAAAGUGGUACUUGUGAUGUAGGUGAUGAAAUUCCUCCCCAAGCCAUAAGAAGAAUGGGUAUUGGAUAUAUCCUACCCAUUGAGGAACCCCUUGUGGCCGAAGGAGAAGGACAAUGGUCCACUCAACUGGAGCCAUCACCAACCCAAGACCCACACGCUUCCGAAGAACAAAGUGAAGGCCCUCAACCUCAUGAACAAGAUCAAGGGCAAGAUCAACCUCAAGAUGGUGGUGAUCCACCAAAUGAUGCCCAAGGUCAAGUUCUUCCCCUCGAGCUAGUUCAAGAUCAAGAACAAGCUCAAGACGACGCUCAAGAUGAUCAAGUAACCCCUCCUCACUUCACUUUCGAGGAGGAAUUGGAGCGUCGUGCCGCUAAGAUCGCUUCCAAGCUCACCACCAAAGGUCAUCUCAUGGAGAAUGUGGUUGGAAGCCUAAGAAAGGGGGUAAGCACUCGUAGACAAUUAGCAAACUAUUGUGAACAUCAUGCGUUUGUUUCUUGUGUCGAACCCCAAAAGGUUUAUGAAGCGCUUGAGGACCCGGAUUGGCUCAACGCCAUGCAUGAAGAACUCAACAACUUCGAACAUAACCAAGUGUGGAAGUUAGUGCCAAGGCCAACCGGGAAUCAUAAUGUCAUUGGAACCAAGUGGAUAUUCAAGAACAAGCAAGACGCUCAUGGAAUCAUUGUUCGCAACAAGGCUCGUUUGGUGGCACAAGGCUACUCCCAAGUCGAGGGUAUCGACUACGGUGAAACCUUUGCCCCCGUUGCUCGCCUUGAAUCUAUUCGUUUGUUGAUUGCUUAUGCUUCUCAUCAUAAUUUCACUUUGCAACAAAUGGAUGUGAAGAGUGCUUUUCUUAAUGGUCCCAUAAAUGAGUUGGUAUAUGUCAAACAACCCCCCGGGUUCGAAGAUCCCUAUUUCCCCAAUCAUGUGUAUCAACUCCACAAGGAGCUCUAUGGCCUUAAACAAGCCCCACGUGCGUGGUAUGAGCAUCUUACGGAGUUGUUACAAGAUUGUGGAUUCGAAAUCGGGAAAAUCGACCCCACUCUUUUUACUAAGAAGGUCAAAGGGGAGUUGUUUGUGUGCCAACUAUAUGUUGAUGAUAUUAUUUUUGGUUCCCCUAACAAAGCUUUCAAUGAAGAAUUUGCCGCUCUCAUGACCCCAAAGUUCAAGAUGUCUAUGAUGGGAGAGUUGAAGUUCUUUCUCGGAUUCGAAAUCAAACAAAGAAGAGAAGGAACCUUCAUCAACCAAGCCAAAUACACUCAAGACAUGCUAAAGAGAUUCAAGCUAAGUGAUGUCAAGCCGGCUUCCACUCCAAUGCCCACCAAGUGCCAACUUGACAUUGAUCCCAAUGGUAAAGCGGUGGAUCAAAAGGUAUAUCGCUCUAUGAUUGGAUCCUUGCUUUACCUUUGUGCAUCUAGACCGGAUAUCAUGUUGAGUGUGGGAAUAAGUGCACGGUUUCAAGACGCACCUAAGGAAAGCCACUUUGUGGCGGUCAAGCGAAUCUUUCGAUAUUUGGCUCAUACCCCAAACUUUGGCCUAUGGUACCCAAGGGGAGCAAACUUCAAGCUUGUAGGUUAUUCGGACUCCGAUUGGGCGGGAGACAAAGUGGAUAGGAAGUCCACUUCCGGAGGGUGCCAAUUUCUUGGUUGCUCUUUGGUAAGUUGGUCUUCUAAAAAGCAAAGUUGUGUGUCUCUCUCGUCCACCGAAGCGGAGUAUGUGGCGGCCGGAAGUUGUUGUGCACAACUCUUAUGGAUGAGGCAAACUUUAAAGGAUUACGGUGUCAUUUGUGACAAAGUGCCUCUUUGGUGUGACAAUGAAAGUGCUAUCAAGAUUUCUCUCAACCCGGUGCAACACUUCAAGACAAAGCAUAUUGAGAUUCGGUAUCACUUCAUCUGGGAUCAUAUUAGGCGAGGGGAGAUCAAGCUCAACUAUGUCAACACUCAUGAUAACCUUGCAGAUAUUUUCACGAAGCCAUUGGAUGAAGCAAGAUUUCGCGAGUGAAGGCAUGAGCUAAAUAUCAUUGAUUCGAGCAAUGUGGUUUGAACCUUUGCACACCCCUCACAUUCAUUGUGCUUUCUUGUCUAGGUGUAGGCAUGGACGUAGGGGGAGUGUUGUUCUCUCAAUGAACUUUCCCUCCCCCCACAAUGCAUAAACUGAUCUCACUCUUUCACAUUAGCCAUUCUUGAUGGUACUUGUGCUUCAAAGACGAGCUUUGGUCAUGGGCCCAAGGAUAAUUCUUCGCGGUGCCAUACCAAGUGACUCAAACAUAGGUGGCCUCGGCCACCGCCCUCUCGUAUAGAGGCGUGUGAUUCUUGUUCUCUUGCUAGUGCUCUUGUUGGUCUUCUUGCCGUUGUUUCCCGUCUUUCGUUUUGCACCAUAUAUGUUGAGUCUGGUUUGAGUUGCGCUGGGCGGUACUACCGUUGUGCAGGAGCGGUACUACCGCUGGAGCGGUACUACCGCUCCAUGGAGCGGUACUACCGCUUAUACGGCUAAGCGGUACUACCGCCCCUCACCACGGUACUACCGCUGAGGGGCGGGGCCAGGGGGUUAAGUCAUGGGCAGGGGUGGUUUCCUCCACCCCAUACCCAUUUGCUUCAUCCCCUGGUUCCUCUUCCUCUCUCUCCAGCGCCAUCUCGCCGCGGGAAGGCUCCGGUGGCCCUCCGUCUCCGGACCAUUCCUCUCCAUUUCCUUCCGUGGAGUCGAUCCCCACCUCGUCCUCUUGCCAUGGAUGCCGGUAUUGCCCCCGUUCCUCUUCUCUUCUUGUCUAGUUUUUAGAUCUCGCGUUUUAGGGGCAAUAGUAGUUGCAUCUCUAGAUUUUUGGCCAAAUCUAGGCUUGAGUAGGUUGGAGAAGGCAACUAGACUCUUUGGAUUGAUGUUUGGUAGGUUUAUUUUUGAAUUUGGCAUCCCCGGUAGUGCCGGAUCUGACCACGGCAGUAGGGGUCCGCCGUGCCCCGUCUCGGGCGGUACUACCGCCCAUCUGGCACGGUACUACCGCUGGAGCGGUACUACCGCUCCACGGAGCGGUACUACCGCUUAUGUGGCUAAGCGGUACUACCGCUGAGCAGGCACGGUACUACCGCUGGAUGCCCAGUUCCAUUGUUUCCUACCACAUGUUGAUCCAUAUUUGUUGUGUUUAUUUGGUUUUGAUCGUUCCUUCUGGUUGUUUCUUGUGUCCGUGUGUUCGGUUCCAGGUGAUGAACAUCCUGAGCAGCAAGUCCGCCGUGUCAACCCCGGGCGUUCAACGUCGAAGCGGUACCGCUCAUCUGAGACUGCAGGUGGUUCUUCCAGUGCUCCACAGCCGGCAGGGGGUGCUUCCUCAAGUGCUAAUCCUCCUCGCAAGAAGAAGAUUGCCAGCCGACCGAAGCCAAGUGGCAAGAAAGUGACUGAGAUGUCUAGCAAGGAAUUCUGGGACAGGCGUCGGCGCAACCCCUAUGAGGAAGACCAAGAACCCAAUCUUGUCAAUCGCCCGUUCUGGAACCGGUUUCAGUAUGCCACAUACUUUGAUGUGAUCAAGGCUAAGAAGAAUCUCUUUGUCAAUGUUCAUUCCAUCAACACGGAUGCUAUGGAGAAGGACCUUGAGUACUUUGGUGAUGCCCUACAGAUGUGCUCUCAGUUGAACAUUCUCAGGAUCAUGCAGUUCAACAAGGACUUUGAUGCAGAUUUGCUGGCACAGUUCUUUGCCACUGUUCACCUAGGAACUGAUGCAGACAGGACUCUGACUUGGAUGACAAAUGGAAAGGUGCUAGCUGUCAAGUGGCAGGCCUUCAUGGGGCUGCUUGAGGUGGAAGAUCAAGGGCUCGAGACUCCAGUUGGUUUUCGUCCUCACCAAGAUGUCACCUCCACUCACAAGCAAGCCCUCUGGCCCUACUGUACUCGGAAGGUCCACCCUGAGACCAGGAAGGAAACCUAUGAGUUGUCUACCUAUCUGGACAUCCUUCACCGUAUCUUCCGCGAGACUCUCUUCCCUCGUAUUGGGAAUCUGGACAUGGUACACUCUUACCUUGUGGACAUGCUUCUCUUCUGCCAGCGUGAGAAGGACGCAAACACCGGCGAGUCCCUGGACAUCUCUCACGUCAUGUGGUCUGAGCUUCUGGCGCCUGUUUCUGAGCGCAAGUGCCCAAUUUAUGGUCCGUUCAUCAUGUUGCUUAUUGAGAGGGCCUGGAGACAUACCUAUCCUGAGGAGCAGCUGGAAACUGGAGAGUUGGUCUCUCAUGAGAUCAAGCGUCUGAGGAAGAAGGAUAAUUGGGGUAGAUCUGGAGCUCCAUCUUCUGCUGCUGCCAUGGAGACCGAGGACGAGGCUGAUGCCGGUGAUGAUGAUGAGGAUUAUGUGCCUCCUGGGACAGAGCCUUCUGCAGCAGAGCCCUCUUGGGCAAAGAAGCUCAAACGCAAGUUGAAGAAGCUGUUCUGCAUGGAGUCUCAUGGUCAGUACAUGACUCAUGUGGCUGAGAAGAAGGCAAGAGGACGUCACACGGAGCUGAUGCGUCAGAUGGGUGCGACAGUCACCAGCGGCUCUGAGGAUCAGAUUACAGAGGAGGAGGAGUGGAUCCAGCAGCACUGUCCGUGGACCAACUCAGAUGCCGAGCAGUUUCCGGGCGAGGACGGCAGUGCAGAUGAUCACGCAGAGUCCUGAUGUUCGAGAUCCUCAGCAUGCUCUCACCUGGAGCCGUAGGUUAGCUCUUUGCCCCUUUUGGUGUCUCGAUGCCAAAGGGGGAGAGAGUUUAGGGAUUUGCGUCGUUGUGUUGCGAGUGUGUCUUUGCUUUUGUGCUUUCGUUAUGUGCUACUUUGUGCUUUUCUUGGACCUUGUGCUUUGCUUGGUUUUGUGUUCAGUGAGACUUUAGUUCGAGUCAUAUGGUGUGAGACAUAUGCUACCCUAUCAUUAUCAUAUCUUUAUCUUUGUCUCUAGUCAUUUGAUAUCUCAUGAGUUAUAUGCUUCAUUAUGUUAUAUAUCCUGCUAUCUUGUAUCUCGCUUAGGUUGUUGGUCUCUAAAAUACAGGGGGAGUGUUGAUCCUAGUAUGUGUGUCGUGCAGUUCAAAGCACUUAUCUUGAUGGCACACAUCUAGGGGGAGCCCGUCCAUAUUUUAGAGAUUUGGGGUUUGCUUAUGUCCUUUGUUUUUUCCCAGUUGUGCAAAUCUCGUAUUGUCAUCAAUCCACCAAAAAGGGGGAGAUUGUAAGGGCAUAUUUAUCCCUAAGAUGUUUUGGUGAUUGAUGACAAUGCUUUUGCGGACUAAUCGUGUGCGUUGAGUGUUUUUCAGAGAUUCAUCCUUUUGGCACGAGACGAUUUCCUCCCCUCGGAGCUUAAAGCGAAGACGGUGUAGUCCUUUCGGAUUAGUUUGGUGGACUAGUUUCAUAGGGAUCACCGUACUAUCAAGAGGGUGUCCGUUUUGGAAAGGCUAGGGCGGAAUCAUCACGUACACUUCCUUUGCCCCUCCCUCCGAGCCUUUCCGUUUCGAUGAUGGGCUUGGUUCUCCUCUCUUUGUGCCCUCUCUGGUCCCAGCGGUAGUACCGCGGGCCAGAGCGGUAGUACCGCUUGGGUGCUACAAGCGGUAGUACCGCUCUGGAGCGGUACUACCGCCCUGGAGCGGUAGUACCGCUCUGGAGCGGUACUACCGCCCAGAGCAGUAGUACCGCUAGUAGCCCCCAUGUGUGUACUAACUCUUGUCCCAGCGGUGGUACCGCGGGACGGAGCGGUAGUACCGCUUGGGUGCCUCAAGCGGUAGUACCGCUCUGGGCGCGGUAGUACCGCUCCAGAGCAGUAGUACCACUAGUGGCCCCAAGCCGUAGUACCGCGGUGGUCUCAUGCUAGUACCGCCUCGAUUCGAGGGCUCCUUUUUCGUGUCGAGUUUUACGGUACUGGCCGCGGCUGUGAGGGGCCAUAGUACCGCUCCUGUGCGGUAGUGCCGCCCACCCUCCGCGGUAGUACCGCUGUGGGCCAAGCGGUAGUACCGCGUUGUGUAGCAGUAGUACCACUUAUAGUGGCAAGCGGUAGUACCGCUGGCACAGCGGUACUACCGCUCUCUUUGGGGCAGAAGGGGGGUAACGGUUGGUUUGUUCCCCCCACUAUAUAAAGGGGUCUUCUUCCCCAAAGUUCACCUCACCUCUUCCCCCAAAAAGCUCCAUUGUUGCUCCAAGCUCCAUUUUCGCCCGAUCUCUCUCCCUAGCCAAUCAAACUUGUUGAUUUGCUCGGGAUUGGUUGAGAAGGCCACGAUCUACACUUCCACCAAGAGAAAUUUGAUUCCCCCCACUUAUCCCUAGCGGAUCUUGUUACUCCUGGGUGUUUGAGCACCCUAGACGGUUGAGGUCACCGCGGAGCCAUAGUCCAUUGUGGUGAAGAUUUGUGGUGUCGUUGGGAGCCUCCAAUUAAGUUGUGGAGAUUGCCCCAACCUUGUUUGUAAAGGUCCGGUCGCCGCCUUCAAGGGCACCAAUAGUGGAAUCACGGCAUCUCGCAUUGUGUGAGGGCGUGAGGAGGAUACGGUGGCCCUUGUGGCUUCUUGGGGAGCAUUGUGCCUCCACACCGCUCCAACGGAGACGUACUUCCCUUCAAAAGGAAGGAACUUCGGUAAGACAUCCUCGUCUUCACCGGCUCCACUCUUGGUUAUCUCGUUCCUUUACUUUAGCUAGUUUACUUGUGUUAUAUCUCUUACUUGCUUGCGUGCUUGUUGUCGUUGCAUCAUAUAGGUUGCUCACUUAGUUGCAUAUCUAGACAACCUAUUUUGAUGCAAAGUUUAAUUUGGUAAAGAAAAGCUAAAAAAAUUGUUAGUUGCCUAUUCACCCCCCCCCCCUCUAGUCAACUAUAUCGAUCCUUUCACCCGGAAGCUCUUUUGGAAAGACAUCUUGAUACUCACAAACGACUGGAAUCUGAGAGAUGGCAUUCAAUUCGCCCUUCUCAUUGAGAGAAAACAACCGAAUGGUUUCAUCACGAGCGGCAUAAAUGAUAACAUCCUCAGAAGAGUGUGUCAAUUGAAUUUCCCUGGCAGCACAAUCAAGUUGAGCCUUGUGCUUAGAAAGCCAGUCCAUCCCGAGAAAAAGAUCAAUAUCCGAGUCACCAAGAACAACUGGAGAAGACAGAAAUUUAUAGUUCCCCAUCUUGAUGGAAACAUCCGGAACCACCAAACUAGAACUCAAACGUUUACCCGGAGAAACGACAUCCAUGGGUUUACUCAGAUGAGAACAAGUGAAUUCAUGCUUGGCAAAAAACGGUCUUCACAUGAAACAAAGCGAAGCACCAGUAUCAAAUAAGACUUUUGCAGGAAUAUCAUUAACUGGAAGAUUACCCAUUAUCACAUCAGUAGACUCCUCUGCUUGAGCUGCAUUCAUCAUGUUCACCUUUGCAGACUUUGGAUUAUGCUUGACCACUGCAUUGCUGGAAGAUCUGACAGGAGGAGGAGGCGGAAGGCGCCUUUGGUUGAAGCACUUGUUAGCAUAGUGACCUUUCUGCUGACACUUGUUGCAAGUCACCUCUGAGAGUGUACGGUGAUAAGGAGCAUUGGACUUUGGAGCUUGAUUCUGAGACUUGUUCUGAUAGCCAGAGUUGGAAGAGUUGGAAGAACCAUGGCCACCUUUGUUCUUCUGCUGGUAAGGCUGACGAAACGGAGGAGGAGGAGGCAACCAGAACUUCUGUUGCUUAGCAGCCACUAGUGAGGAAGAAGAAGACUGAACUGCGUCCCUGACUCUCUUCUUAGAAGCCUCACACUUGAGUUGAGCAGCCUCUUGCUUCAGUGCCAUGUUAUAGAAUUGAUCAAACUGAGUAGGCUCAACAAGAACGAGAGCUAACUGCAUAUCCUCUCUAAGGCCACCUCUGAAGUGAUAGAUCAUGCUCUUUUCAUCAGGAACGUCUUGUUUAGCGAAGCGAGCAAGUUUCUGAAACUGAAUGUUGAAUUGAUACACAGACAUGUUGCCUUGCUUGAGAUUGCGGAACUCCUCACGCUUGCUCUCAACAACACUUUGUGGAAUGUGGUGAGCUUUGAAAUCCCGACAGAAGUCAGUCCAAGUGAUCACACGACCUCCUCUAGAAUCUUUGUAUUGUUGAUACCAAUCAGCAGCUUGGUCCUUGAGCUGAAAAGAAGCGAACUUGACAUAGUCCUCAGGCCUGACAUUGCUACAUUCAAAAUGCUUGUUGAUGUCCACGAGCCAAUCAUCGGCAUCCGUGGCCUCGGCACAGUAGCUGAAAGACUUGGGCUGAUUUGCGAGAAACUGGUUGAGAGUAGCAAAGUGAGACUGAUUGUUGCCUUGAUCUUGAUUUCCUUGAUUGCCUUGCCCUUGGGUGCGUUCUUGCAAGAGUUGCAGAAUCAUCUGAGCAUUGGCGUUGGUGGCUGCCAUGAUAGCUUGCCAUGCCUCCGGAGGCGGAGGUGGUGGCGGAGGGUUCGCCUGACUUCCUUCAUUGCGAUCCGGAUUCUGACGCGUUGGCGGAGCCAUCCUGAAGAGGGUGACAUCCGUUAGCAUCUUGAUAGACAAAUAGAUAAGUAGAAUCAACGGAUAGAAAUUGCAACAUAUGGUCUUCACAAUAAACAUUCGAACGAGGAUGAACGAAUGAAUUCCGUAGUAAAACAUCACACUUCCAUUAAGUUGAGAAGCCACUUGGAAAAAAAAGGUAUGGAAUCAACAUUUGACUUCGAAGCAACUCGAAUACCACAAUUGAAAACAAAACAAAGUAUUGGCUUGCAGAAUAAGCCGGAACAAACAUAUGACAGAGAUUUCGUCCGAAGUUUUCAUGGUGGGGCCCACACGGGCUCGAUCGUACAGCACCAUCACGUAAAAGGCUGUGCACAUGACAUACGAAGCGUCCCCGAGUCGGCAUAGCCAAGGACUCUUUAAGACACUACGAGACCACUGUAAAACCAACCGUGGAAAGGCGGACCACUAGACGUCGAACCCCAAUCUCAUAUCAUGCGUCUGUCGGAAAGAUAUCCUAAGAGCUACUUGAAUUCCCACUUAUAAACUCCCGAAACUUUCUGGUUAUGCAAUCUGGUGUUGGGGAUACAAGGGACACAAAAUAUAUCACCCAAACUAGCAAUCCCUAGAUCCAGCUGUAUCCAUCCGUCAACACAUAACCAAGAAACCUUCGGAAAUCGUGUACCUCAACCUUCGAAAAGCAUCCGUUAUACGAGUUAUGGCAAUACUCCCAAACUCCCGCCCCAGUACUGGGUGGCGUCGAGGUGAUCUCACCAACAACUGCAUAAAAGAGAUUUCGAUGUCGGCGAAACUCAGGUAUUCCAGAACUGCAACGAUAAAAUUGUGACGACAACACCUCGGAGCUCAACUCCCCGGGACACUGCCACAACCCCUAAAUGUCAGGAGGCACCAAGAACAAUGUUCUCGUCACAAAACCAUCGGAACGAUUCCAAGAUACCCGCGUCAUCCUAAAAAAAAAUUAGUGAAAUUUGAGGAGAGAAGAGUCAAAACUUCUACGUCAGGAGGCCUCACCAGAGCGACGAAGGGACUGAGGAGUAAAAAGAAUCCUACUCUCCGAUAUAUAUAAUCCUAAGACUCAAAACAUUUUUGUUCUAGACUCAACAACGCCAGCGAUUCGAUCAAGCAGGGGGCUCCUAAGUCGGGGAUGGCUCUGAUUACCAACUUGUAACGCCCACGAUGCGGCUAUAUCUCCCACGUGUCGAGGCACGACUUAGAGGCAUAACCGCAUUGUGGUUUUGUCGCAAGAAGGGUCAUCUUCACACAAUCCCAUGUAAUGAACAAGAAUGGGAUAAAGAGUUGGCUUACAAUCGCCACUUCACACAAUACAUAAAUAUAAUUCAUACAUCAUCCAAAAUACACACAUAGACCGACUACGGUCAAGAUCCAAAUGAAAAUAAGAUAACCCCAAAUGCUAGAUCCCCGAUCGUCUCAACUGGGCUCCACUACUGAUCAUCAGGAAAAGACACAUAGUAACGACCACGUUCCUCAUCGAACUCCCACUUGAGGUCGAUCUCAUCAACUGCACUGGCAUCGUCGGCACCUGCAACUGUUUUGGUAGAAUCUGUGAGUCACGAGGACUCAGCAAUCUCACACGCGCGAGAUCAAGACUAUUUAAGCUUAUAGGUAAGGAUGGUGAAAUGGGGUGGAGCUGCAGCAGGCACUAAGCAUAUAUGGUGGCUAACAUACGCAAAUGAGAGCGAGGAGAGAAGCAACGGAACGGUCGUCAACUAGCAAUGACCAAGAAGUGAUCCUGAACUCCUACUUACGUUCAUGCAUAACUCAAACCGUGUUCACUUCCCGGACUCCGCCGAGAAGAGACCAUCACGGCUACACACACAGUUGAUGUAUUUUAAUUGGGUCAAGUGGCAAGUUCUCUACAACCGGACAUUAACAAAUUCCCAUCUGCCUCAUAACCGCGGGCACGGCUUUCGAAAGAUAAUACCCUGCAGGGGUGUCCCAACUUAGCCCAUUAUAAGCUCUCACGGUCAACGAAGGAUAAACCUUCUCCCGGAAAGACCCGAUCAGUCUUGGAAUCCCGUUUUACAAGACAUUUCGUCAAUGGUAAAACAAGACCAGCAAAGCCGCCCGAAUGUGCCGACAAAUCCCGAUAGGAGCUACACAUAUCUCGUUCUCAGGGCACACCAGAUAAGUCAAGCUACGAGUAAAACCAGACCUCGAGUUUCCCCGAGGUGGCCCCGCAGGCUGCUCGGUUCGGACCAACACUCGAAGGAGCACUGGCCCCGGGGGUUUAAAUAAAGAUGACCCUCGGGCUCGCGAAAACCCGGGGGAAAAAGGCUUAGGUCGCAAAUGGUAAAACCAAGGUUGGGCCUUGCUGGAGGAGUUUUAUUCAAGGCGAACUGUCAAGGGGGUCCCAUAAAUCACCCAACCGCGUAAGGAACGCAAACUCAAGGAACAUAAUACCGGUAUGACAGAAACUAGGACGGCAAGAGUGGAACAAAACACCAGGCAUAAGGCCGAGCCUUCCACCAUUUACCAAAUAUAUAGAUGCAUUAAUCAAAUAAGAGAUAUUGUGAUAUCCCAACAUAUCCAUGUUCCAACAUGGAACAAACUUCAACUUCACCUGCAACUAGCAACGCUAUAAGAAGGGCUGAGCAAAAGCGGUAACUUAGCCAAACAACGGUUUGCUAGGAAAAGAUGGUUAGGGGCUGACAUGGCAAUAUGGGAGGCAUGAUAUAGCAAGUGGUAGGUAACGCAGCAUGGCAAAAGAACGAACAACUAGCAAAGCAAAAAUAGAAGUGAUUUCGAGGGGUGGUCAUCUUACCUGCAAGGUUCUCAGAGUUGUCGAAAGCUUGAUCCUCAUAAGCGUACUCAACAGGUUGCCCGUUCACGAACUCGUCUCCCGGCUCUACCCAAGACAAGAACACAAGCAAUGGAACCACAAUCAAUCACGGUAACUGCACAAGCAACAUGAUGCAAAACAUGAAUGAUAUGCAAGAUAUGAUAUGCGGUGCAUGUGCGUGCUCCGGAAGGAAAAUGAUGGACAAGGCAGUAACUUGACAAACCAAGCAUGCCACUGGAAAUAUGAGAUGAUUUCGGUUGAAAUCGAUAUAAAGAUCACCGGAAACGGAUGCACGGUUUGCAAAUGGCAAGCAAAACAAGAAUGACACGAAUCUGCAAUUAACAGCAUGAUAGCACUUAGAAUGCAAUAGGUAACAAUGCUACAGCACUCCAACGUAGCAAAAAAGCAUAUGGCAGUAAUCUACCGGAGAUGCUUGACAAAAGAUGAACACUGAGAUACGGCUAGAUCACACCACAGCAGGUUCAAACAAGCAUGGCAAAAGUGCAAAAGAUAACAGGUUCACAGACUUUGUGAAAUUACUGGACAUGACUGAAACAGCAUCCGGUAGCAAUGUUCAGAGCACGAAAUCAACAUGCUACAGGAACUUAACAUGGCAAAACAAGGCAUGGCAGUGUUCUACUAAAUGCAUAUGACAAAAGUCCCUUACUGACCAUAAGCCAAAAAGGACCAGAAGAUAUAAUGGCAACCAUGCAAACAUAGCAAGUUUCGUUAACAGGUUUCAGACUUAGCAGAAAACAGAGCAUGGCAGAAACAACAAUAUGAAGGCAUCUUGGUGAGCUUGACGCACUCACUACAGAGCAAUGCAUGACAAAACAAGCAUACCAACAGCAAGAUGGCAUGUUUAUGAAGCUAUCCAUGGCAACAUAAAAUACAUACCAUGUAUGAAACAACUAGAACAAGCUUGGCAAAAUUGCAUAUCAUGUAAACAAUCUGCCAGAAAUAUUUUAUAGCAAAAGUAGAGCAAGAUUGAGUCAUGCUAUGGCACUCCAUAAUUGCAAACAAGGGUAGUAAUGGAUCAAUUACAACAAUACCUACAAAACAUCCUUACUGAACAUCUCCAAAAUAUGCAUGGAUCUCUCUGUAGCAUCAAGUUUACAUGGCAACAAAAUAACAGCAGACAAAGACUUGGAGGAAUUACUAAGUCCCUGAAAUCAGAAACAUUACGGAGCCUAGUGUGCAUGCUUGUGCUAGUCACCACAGAGAUCAUAAAAAUACAUGGCAUACACCACUGGAAAGAUGGCAUGGCAUACAACAAAACACAUGUAGAGCUCAUGCCCAUAAGAUGCACAGAUUAAAUGCAACAAAAAUAACAAAUCCUCAAGUUCUGCUAAGUAACAGCAGAUAACAGCAAGUAGCACUCUUGCACCAGAGAUUUGGGCAUCAAGAUGAGCUCAAAUGAACCUGGUGCAAUGGAACAAAAUUAAGAGCAUCACGAGGCGAACAUUUUGAUAUAUUACACGCGCGAAAUAGAGCUAUAUGCAGAGAGUUAUGAUGCUAUGAAGAUGGGCACAUACUGUAAAAUUAUAAGGACUUGGGAUUUUCGGGGAGAGGUGAAAAAGUCGACCCGUUCUCAGAUCCGAUCGGGGCCGGCUCGGUUUCGACGGUGGCCGGAGCUGGGCUGCUGCCGGCGGCGGCGCGGAGGAGGAGGAGGCGCCGGGGCACGGGGGAGAUGGCGGCGAGGAGGAAGGAGGACGGCGGCGAGGGCGGCGGUGCNNNNNNNNNNNNNNNNNNNNNNNNNNNNNNNNNNNNNNNNNNNNNNNNNNNNNNNNNNNNNNNNNNNNNNNNNNNNNNNNNNNNNNNNNNNNNNNNNNNNNNNNNNNNNNNNNNNNNNNNNNNNNNNNNNNNNNNNNNNNNNNNNNNNNNNNNNNNNNNNNNNNNNNNNNNNNNNNNNNNNNNNNNNNNNNNNNNNNNNNNNNNNNNNNNNNNNNNNNNNNNNNNNNNNNNNNNNNNNNNNNNNNNNNNNNNNNNNNNNNNNNNNNNNNNNNNNNNNNNNNNNNNNNNNNNNNNNNNNNNNNNNNNNNNNNNNNNNNNNNNNNNNNNNNNNNNNNNNNNNNNNNNNNNGGCGGCGCGGGACACGUGGCGGAUGCGGGGUGGCUGCGGGAUCCGUCCGGCGGCGACCGGACGUGUCCGGCGGCGGCGGGGAAAAAUGCUAGGGUUUGAUCUGCGUAUUAUUUCGGGAGGGGAGGCAUAUAUAUAGGUAGAGGGAGCUAGGAGGCUCCAAAUAAGGUGCGGUUUUCGCCCACACGAUCGUGAUCGAACGACCUAGAGCAUGGAAGAGAGUUUGGUGGGUUUUGGGCUGUUUAGAGAGGGGUUUUUGCUGCCCACACAAACGGACAUUGCGGUUACCCGGUUAACCGUUGGAGUAACAAACAACCUCCAAAUAGAACGAAACUUGACCGAUGGCCUACCGGUGGUAUACCAAGGCCACUUGACAAGCCUCGAUCCAUUCCGAGAACGUUUGACACCCGCUCACAAAAGAAAAACAAGAGGGGUGCGCCGGAGGAGGUAGGAGUGCCGGAUUGCAAAACGGACAACGGGGAAAAUGCUCGGAUGCAUGAGACGAACACGUAUGCAAAUGCAAUGCACAUGAUGACAUGAUAUGAGAUGCAUGACAUGAACAAAAUGCAAAACGAAAAACAAAACCCGACCACGAAGGGAAUAUCAUAACACAUGGCCAAAAAUGGCACGAGUCGGAAUUACAAAUAUGGAAAGUUACAUCCGGGGUGUUACAUAGAGUUGUAGCAGUCCAGGAUGAGGAGGGUGGGGUUACACAUGUUGCAAAGGAGACUGAUGAGAAGGAGGAAGAGUACGCACUGCGGUGUGGGGAAUCAGUUGGCGAAGACAAAGAUGAGAUUCGCACAUCGGCGGCCCCGAGGAGGAGGACCGCCGGGCCAAAUGAAAAUACUAGGCUGGAACUGCUGUGGUAUGCUCUCCAACACGGCAGUUCGUGAGCUUCUAGAUCUACAGAAGCGUACAAGGGCAAAUUUAAUUUUCCUUUCUGAAUCCCAUUUGAAUAAUUGUAAAGCCGAUGAGCUUCGUCACGUAUUAGGUUUUGACUCUAUGUUUGUAGUGGAAAGUGAUGGUAAGGCUGGUGGCCUCGCUUUGUUUUAUCAUGAGUCCAAUAAAAUUGAGUUGAACUAUGUCUCGCCCCAUUUUAUUGAUAUUGUUUUUAUGUAUGAGAAUGUGGUUCGGUGGCGGUUCACGGGCUUCUAUGGUCACCCGAAAUGAAAUGAACAACAUCUAUCUUGGGAUGACAUUCGCAAUUUACAUAGUAAGAGCAACCAUCCUUGGGUGGUUUUGGCGGAUUUUAAUGAAAUUUUAUAUCCCUCGGAAAGAGGGUGGUGUAGCUAGACCACUUGGUAUGAUGAGAGAGUUCCGUGAAUGCCUAAUGGAUUGUGGGCUGGAAGAUCUAGGCUAUAAGGGGGACAUAUUCACUUGGAGGAGAGGCGAAAUACGUGAGCACCUUGAUCGGGCAGUUUGUAACUUAGCAUGGGCAAACAAAUUUCCACGAGCGGCAACUAUCAAUGAAGAAUAUGUUCAUUCUGACCAUCGCCCAAUUGUACUGGAUAUGGAGUAUUGGGAUGAAAAAAUAUUUAAAAGCCCAAAGGGGCGUGUUAAACAAUUUGAGGCGAGAUGGUUGAAGGAAGAGACGGUCACUGAAAUCGUUAAGGCAUCUUGGGAGAAAGCAAAGCUAGCAGGUAUUGGACCCUCACUUGCUGACAGAACGAGAGCAGUGCAUGCCAAUCUACAUACUUGGGACCAGGAAACGCUAAAGGGACCAGAGGUGAGAAUUAGAAAAUUAAAAAAAGAGUUGGAGAGACUAAGGCGUGGCCCAUUGAAUACGGAAUCUCGAUGUCGUCAGAAGGAAAUUAUUGUGCUAAUUGAAAAUAUUUUGGAGCAAGAGGAAAUAUUCUGGUUAUAAAGAGGACAGGCAAAUUGGUUGAUGCAUGGGGAUCGUAAUACGUCGUUCUUUCAUAAUGCUGCCACAGCCAGGAAAAAAAGAAAUAAUAUAAAGAAACUAUUAGACGAGUCUGGAAACUGGUUAACAGAUAAGGAAUUGACGAAUCAUAUUACUGGAUAUUUUACAAAGCUUUUUACAUCGGAAGUUCAACACCCGAAUCAAGAUGUUUUAUCACUUGUUCGAAGGAGAGUGUCAAACGAAAUGAAUGAUGCUCUACUUGCCCCUUAUACUGCGGAAGAUGUUCGCAAGGCUUUAUUCGAUAUUGGGGACUUGAAAACUCCAGGGCCAGAUGGACUCCAUGCUAUCUUCUAUAAAAGGUUUUGGCCCAUGAUGGGGGAAGAAUUAAUUGAGGAGGUUCUGAUAGCAAUCAACACAUGCACUAUACCGAAGGGUUGGAAUGAUACGGCGAACGUGAUGAUUCCUAAAAUUAAUACACCAGAGAAGGUAAUCCAAUUUAGGCCGAUCAGCUUAUGUAAUGUGCUAUAUAAAAUAAUUGCAAAAAUGGUGGCUUCUCGAUUGAAGGUUUUUUUACGAGAAAUUAUUAGCCCAACACAGAGUGCAUUUGUACCGGGUAGAUUGAUAAUGGAUAAUAUUUUAGUGGCCUACGAAUGUUUUCACACAAUCAAGAAUAAAAGAGAGGGUAGAGAGGGCUUGUGUGCUAUAAAACUUGAUAUGCACAAAGCCUACAAUAGAGUUGAGUGGACUUUUUUGAAGAAGAUUAUGUUGAAAUUGGGUUUUCGUCGUGAGUGGGUUAAUGUGAUUAUGCAAUGCGUCUCAACCGUAGAAUACAAAGUAAGGAUCAAUGAAGAGGAAAGUGAGAGAUUUAAGCCUACGAGAGGGUUGAGACAGGGGGACCCGCUAUCACCUUACCUUUUUUUGUUGUGCACAGAAGGAUUGAAUGCCUUGCUUGCGCAUGCUGAGGAGAAUGGAAACAUUUCAGGAGUUAAAGUCUGUAGAGACACCCCGCCAGUCAUAAAUCUUCUCUUUUGCGGAUGACUCAUUGAUCUUAAUGAAAGCCAACCAACAUAAUGUGGAAAACCUGAAAUCAGCACUAGAUUUAUAUUGUGCGGCGUCGGGACAGCUGGUAAGCAUUGAAAAAUCCAGUAUUUUCUUCAGCCCUAAUACAAAGGUAGAGAUCAGAGAACAAUUGUGUACAACGCUAAAUAUAAUGACGGAGGCUCUCACUGAUAAAUAUUUUGGCUUACUAGCAAAUGUGGGUGUUGAUAAAACAGACUGCUUUAGUUUUCUGAUUGAACGUAUUGUUAAGAGAAUUAGUGGUUGGAAGGAAAAAUUACUAUCUUCCGGGGGGGAGGAGAUCCUAUUAAAGGCGGUGAUCCAAGCCAUACCUACCUAUGCACUGUCGGUCUUUAAAAUUCCUAAAAAAUUGUAAAGGAAUCAUUGACGCGAUGUCACAUUCUGGUGGGAAGACGAGGAGAACCAGAAGAGGAUGCAUUGAAUGGCCUGGUGGAAAAUGUGUGUACCAAAAUACCAAGGAGGAAUGGGAUUCCGUGACAUCCACUAUUUCAACCUGACUCUGCUUGCAAAACAGGCAUGGCAUCUCCUUGAUAAUCCUGACUCCUUGUGCGCUACUAUUCUAAGGGCCAAGUAUUAUCCUAAUGGUGAUUUGCUGAACUCCAAGCCAAAGCACGGUGCUUCCUUCACCUAGCAAAGCAUUAUGGCAGGCAUCAGUACUCUCAAGCGAGGUUAUAUUUGGCGAGUGGGGGAUGGACAAAACAUCAAUAUUUGAGAAGAUGUCUGGAUCCCAAAUUGUGCCACUAGGAAGAUUGUGACCCCUAGGGGCGCAUUUGUUAUCAAAAGUCGUAGAUUUGAUUGACCCGGUCUCCAAUAAUUGGGAUGAGGACCUGAUUAGACAAACUAUGUGGACCAUUGACGCACAACGGAUUCUUUUAAUUCCAAUUUCGCAACAUAAUAUGACAUAUUUUAUUGCCUAGAGUUAUACGAAAAAUGGUAUGUUUUUGGUACGGUCUGCUUACUCUGUGGAGUGGAACUAUCAGUAUGGGAGCAAACUAAAAUAUUCUAACGGGAUGGGACGGAGCACACCUAACCCUAUAUAGUGUCAGAUAUGGAAGUUAUCUUGUCCGGCUAAAGUCAAAAAAAAUUAUGCCGGACACUACAUGGCACUCUCCCAUGUCAGGCAACACUCACUAAUACACACAUGAAGGUCUCGUCCUCUUGCCCUACCUGCUCUCAGGGUGUAGAGGAUACGAAGCACUUGCUUUUCCUAUGUAGAAAAGCAAAGGAGGUUUGGAAAAGGCUAGGGUUGGAUAUGAUUAUUGAGAGAGCUUGUGAGAUUGAUCGUGCUGGAGAGGCAACAAUGGAAUACCUAUUACUCCUUCCACAUCAAGAUCUACGCAUUAUGGGGUACGAAAAUAUUCGAGAAAUGAUACUAUCUCAGCUUAGUAUCUAUGGUGGGAAAGACGGAAAUUAGUGCACAAGGAAUUAACUCAAAAUGCGACCCAGAUCUCAAUGGGGAUCAUAGCUCUUACAUAUAAUUUUGUAAAUGCAUAUCUUCAAAGGCGUCCAUGAAAAAGGGGGGGUUGGCAAUGUCCUUCUAGGGGCUUUGUGAAACUCAAUGUUGACGCCUCUUUUGACCAUGACUUGCUGGAGGGUACGAUGGGGAUAGUAUUGAGAGACGACAAAGGUAAGUUUAUUGCAGAGGGGAAUGGAAAGAUAAACUACUGCGCGGAUGUUCUCAUGGCGGAGGCCUUAGCUCUCAAAUUUGGCCUAAAUUUAGCGCAAAGGGCGGGAUGUAAUCGUCUAAUCAUCAACUCUGACAAUCUGGAGGUGAUUGAGACCAUGCAGGACGGAGGACAGUCAGCGAGAGCGGCGGCGGCAAUCUUCGAUGACUGCUAUCACUAUGCUUGUGAUUUUAUCAUGACUAAAUUCAAACAUUGUAAUAAAGAGGCAAAUAAAGUAGCACAUGAACUUGUUAGAUUAGCUAGAUUUUUUUCUGACUUCAGACUGGUUUGAGGAGUCUAUUAGUGAAAUUGUAACGUUUCUCACAAAUGAUGUAUUGGUUAUUGCUAAUGAAUAAAAUUUCGUUUUAUUUCAAAAAAAAAAGGCUGCCAAUGUAGCGACUGUGGUAGAAUCGCUUUUACUCUUGCACUUAAAGGCGGCUAGCUCAUCUCAAGAAAAAGAAAAAAAGGCAGCUACCUGGCAAAGCCAGAACUGGUCCUAGUUAACUAUGGAUGGAUGGAGGUGUAUCUCCGGCGGAUCUAUCUUUGAUGGAUUUGCUCGGAUCUCGUUGGUGUUCGUCUACGUUCGUGUGUCUUUGGAUUGGAUCCUUCCGAUCUACUCCCUCCGUUCGGAAUUACUUGUCUCGAAAAUGGAUGUAUCUAGAACUAAAAUACGUCUAGAUACAUCCAUUUCUGCGACAAGUAAUUCCGAACGGAGGAAGUAUGUUAUUCUUCAUCUGCGGCGAUUGCUGUUCUGGUGUGCUGGUCCUAUGGGGCCUUAGCACGACGACUUCCCAACUGUCUACUACAACAAGUUGUGUCCGACACUGACGAUGGAGGGGCGAUGACGGCGGCGCGCCUUCGGCUCGCUUCAGUGCUUGUAGUCGUCGCUAGCUGGUCUACGGAUCUGGAUGUAAUUUUUAUUAUUUUUGAUAUUCAUUGUACUGUCAUGAUUGAAGAUGAAUAGAUCGGAAGAUUUCUAAAAAAAACUAUGGAUGGAUAAAUAUCAUAUGUAGCAUGUGCUGGAAACGUCGGUAGGUUCCUUCCUUCCUUCCUUGGCCUGUCCAGCUAAUUGCGUCGUCAACGUUGUGCGGCGAUGCGUUGGAGCAUUCUAUAAUUCGUCUUCUCCCUUCUACUUCCCACCAACAUCAAUCAUGGACUCGUGUCCUUUUCCAUCCACCUGUUUGGCGUAUUACCACCGCACGUGAGCUGUCCUCCGUGUCAUGGUUAUCAUCUUACGCGCGGAAGGAUGUCCAUUCAUUUAGUCAGCCCAUGCGAAAUUCAACGUAAAUGCAAGUAGCAGAGUUACCAUAUUUGCAGUCGUUACAUGCAAGUAUGCAACAGGCUUGGUAAUAUUUUGGAGGCUGGCGAGGUGAUGUGGGGAAACUCGCUCAGAGUCAUCAUUUCUCAUCCUUGGAAACAUUUCUUCUUCUUUUUAUUUAAACACUUUGAUUAAAGAUUUGCAAUAUUUUAAAAUUAGUCAUGCACAUAUCUUCAGCAAGUUACAUGAACAAAGCAUUAAACCAACAUGUACAAGUCCGAUGUGUGCACCUUGCUCCCCUUCGAUGGCAAGUGACACCGCUAGGAGGAGUGUGCCUUACUUGAUCCAAACAACCUGCCAGCGGUUGCGCAUAUUUUGUAUGCCCCAUCGAUUUGUAAGAAAUUUGAUAAUAUGGUCCGUUUGAUACCUUUCAAUAUUUUGCAUUCGUUUGAUCUUUCUCAGUAACCAUGUCAAGAGUAGUCUCUUGAAUCAUGCCCCCACACACAUAGAAGACUUUUUCUACUUCAUUGACAAUUCUCCUCCCAGCUCUGGUGUGACUUAAUUGGUUAUACCUGGCAAUGGCGGGUUCUUUGCGUCGUUACCCUGAUGGCGGCAUUGCUCAGAGUUUGCUUAGAUUGGAUCUCCAGGGUGAAAACCCACGAUCCGCGUGGUUAUUGGAUCUGGCGACAGCGACGCUUUGUGUCGUUUCCUUCUUGAAGGCGUUGCUUUUGGAGAACCCUUCUCGCAGUCCUUGGGAUGUCAAAAGAUGGUUGGCACCGAUGGUUACUGUUGUAUAUCGUCAAUUGUUGUUUUCCUUGCUUCAUUUUUUUUCUUCCUCCGCCUAGGCAUAGCAUUGGUCUUUGUAUGACUUUGCACUCUGCCGGGGUGGUUAUUCAUGUGUGUGCUGUGUUGACUGUGUGCAUCCUAAUUAUGCAGAGGCCAGGUGUGUACUCAUUAUGAUUAUAUCCCUCGAUGCUACUCUAUGAGUCAAUAUAAAACACCCUUUAUCGAAAAAAUAUCGAACUCUAUUGCAUACGAGUACUCUAUUGAAUUUAACUGUUUUGUACUGUUUUUGUGGCACUACCCGGUGUAUAGGAGCAAGCAUUUAUUUCACUCAGAUUAUUUUAUUUUUUCAUCACACGGCCAAUUCUCCCAUACUUUUAGUCCGAUUUUAAAAUUUGUAACACUUUUAACUUUGAACUAAUGAUUUGAUUUAGAAUCCAUUUGCAGAUUCAUGUCCAUGUCAUUUAAAUCUCUAAAACAAGAUCAAACUUGAACAUGUUCUGAACAAGUUUAAAUUCAAAUCUGAUGCCAUAAUGAAACUUAUAUGAAAUGUGAGACGAUACGACAAUGAAACCGGAGUGAACCAAUAAUGAAAACAUGCAAUAGAUAAUGUAAUGAACCAUAAUAAAACUUAUAUCAAGCUUGAGAUGAAACAUGGAUGAAUUGUGGAAUGAAACAAUAACAGAAACAUGCAAGGAGGAAUGUAUGAACAAAUACUGAAAACAUAUAAAUUGAAAUGGUAUGGAAAUGAUAUCGUAUAGAAAAUAUGUGAAGAGGACACUUUUAGUGCCCAACCUAACCAUGAAAGAUAAUUUAACAAGAUGAUAUGAAACUUAUUUGAAAACUCUAAAAAUAGAAAUGAAAUCUGAAUGCAAUAGUAUUGAAAUCCGGAAUGAAAAAUUAGCAAAACCAUGUAAUAGAAAAAAUAAUGAAACAUAUAAAAAUAUGAUGAAACACACAUGUAAUAGUUUCAUAUAAGUUUUAAUAUGGUUCAUAAUUUGAAUUUGAAUUUUUUUCAAAAGUGUUCAAAAUUGAUAUUGUUUUGAAGAUUUAAAUAUUUUGAAUGCUAAUAUUUAAACAGUUUGUCAAUCGGAUAUUUGGUUCAAAAGAUAUAAUUGGUACAAACUAUAUAAUCAAACCUAAAAGCAGCAUGGGUGUAACUAUGUGUGGGUUGGUUCAAAAAAUGGCUACCUUUUGACUACAAAACAUACCCACGAGUCACUUUGCUGUGGUGGCUAAUUGCUAGUUCCGGCAAAGAAAAGGCUAAUUCUAGUUGUACAACACAUGUCAUAGUAAUAGUAUAGCAAUUGAUAAUACUUAUCUUGUAUGUAUACAUGCAUGGCGUGCAUGUAGGACACGGUAAAACCCGAUUCCGCGAAUGUAUCCUUUUGUACGUCUAGCAUCCCUUUUUCCUGUUUUCCUUCCGUCCCUGGCGGCUGGAACCCUAGCCGCCGCCAGAGGAGGCUGAUCUUCCAACGCCGCUCUCCGGCGGCUCCCCUCCGCCGGCGACCUCGGUCGUCGGUGGUGAGGGGGGUCGCCGGAUCCACACGUGUGGAUCGCUUUUACUCUCUCGUACUUUAGGUUUUUAGGUUGUUCAUCGUCUUUGCUCCGGCGGCGACGAUGACAAUGCUGAAUAAAGAUUCUUCAGGUCCUUCACUGACGAGGUCAUCGGUCCUAUGGUUGGGGUGGAUUUGAAAACCAGACUGUUCAAGCAAGGAUGGCGUGAAGGCGGCGGCAUCCUCGUGGUGGACCUGUGUCCUCGGGCUCCGUCGUUGCGACGGCGUUUGCUCCAGCGUCGGCGCGGAGCUUGGGAGGUAGUCCAGGAGCGGAUGCAGAUUGUGGUCUGCAUCAACGACAUCUGGAAGACGGAGCAUGUGCUGGGCUCGUGGUUCGUGGAUGGCAGAUAUGGUUUCCUCCUUCGGCGUUUUAGUCGUGGUGGGGUGCCAGAUCUGGAGUUCGAUGGCGUGUCCGGGGUGUUGCCCCGGUCUGAUUCGUUCCACGGCAAUGGCUUCACUUUUGGUGAGCCACCUUGAAGGUCCGCAAAGCUGUAUAUCAGCGAUGGAGCCGCGUCGAGCUCGGGUGAGGAGGUGAUCCGUCAUUUUUUUCUUCAGUGACUGCUGCGGUGGUGCCGGAGGCAGGUGACGGGCAUUGGUAUCAAGCUCAGAGAUGUUCUACUAUCUUUUCAGUUUUGUCAUGUCGGAAAAACCGAUUCCGCGAAAAUCCUCUCCGGUUGAAUGUCCAGUAUCCCGCUCGCGGUCGGCAGACAUUUGACAUGUUGUCCGUUUGGUGAAGCUGACUAGAUAUCUCCCACAGCCUUUAACAUGAAGAAGCGUGCACGCUCAGUUUAAAGCUGCUGAAAAAUAUUGGCGAUCAAGCCAGCCUGGGACGACGAUUCUGCUAGACUAAGGGGGCGUUUGGUUCAGGAAUUUUUUAGUCCCAGAGACUAGAAAAAGUCCAUAGGAACCAAACAGGAGGGACUUUUUCUACAGGGACUAGAAAAAGACUCUACUAGAGAGUCUUUUUUUAUUAGUCCCUGGACCGACAUACCCACCUUGCCUCUUCCGGAGAAGGUACCGAAUGCGCCGUAGUUUGUUUGUGAAAAUUGUCACCGAUUGUGAGGCCGCCUCAGAUUACUUCAAGCGUCGUAGAUCCGCUGCCAGUAUCAUGGGGUUUAGUGCGUACCAAAAGAUAUCGACUGCAAUGCGGGUGCUCGCCUAUGGCAUACCCGCGGACUAUACGAACGAGUAUCUUCGCAUUGGACAAGAUACAACCACGGCGCCUGUUCGUAGGUUUGCAAAAUUGGUCAUCCGGUUGUAUGGUGAUGAGUAUAUUCGGGCACCCAACGAGGAAGAUACAAAGAGAUUGAUGGAGAUGAAUGAAAAAAGGGGAUGGCCGGGGAUGCUUGGUAGUCUUGAUUGCAUGCAUUGGAAAUGGAAAAAUUGUCCAAAGGCAUGGCAAGGAAUGUAUUGCGGUAAAAGCCGUGAUGCUACCAUUGUGCUUGAGGCCGUGGCAUCGGAGGACACAUGGAUUUGGCAUGCAUUUUUUGGUUUGCCGGAAACACUCAAUGAUAUCAGUGUGCUCAAUAGAUCUCCUUUGUUCAAAAGAUUAGUUUCUGGGGAUGCUCCAACUUGCAACUACAAAAUAAUGGACAAUGAGUACUCAAUGGGAUACUAUCUCACCGAUGGAAUUUAUCCCGAUUGGGCAACUCUUGUGAAGUCCAUCAAGGAGAAAAAUGGGGUGCCCUUAACCAGAAAAGAGGCUCAUUUCACCAAGGCACAAGAGGCAGCCCGCAAGGAUAUUGAGAGAGCUUUCGGUGUUUUGCAAGCAAGAUUUGCCAUAGUUCGGGGUCCAGCUCGUUUUUGGGACAAAAAAACCUUGGAGAACAUCAUGAAAUGUGGUGUGAUUCUACACAACAUGAUCAUCGAGGAUGAGAGAGGGUUAAAACUGCCUUGUUUCUAUGACAAUGUUGGUACUCGUGUGCAACCGGAAAGAAACCCUUGUCGCGUACAAGCUUUUCUUGAAGCACAUCGUCAGAUUGAGGAUGCAAAUACUCAUGGUCAGCUCCGGGAUGAUCUAGUAGAGCACCAGUGGCAGUUGGCUGGGCGGCGCCAAGGCCUAUGAUCUACCUUUGUUUACUUUUCUAUGUCCUAUUUGAUUCGAACAAUUAUUAUAAUUUGCUUCAAAACAUUGUUGUAAUAAAUUGAAUGAUUAUUAUGUGUUUGAAAGUACUAUUCGAUGUUAUUGAGAUGAUGAAAAUUGUGAUAUGUCAAAUGACAGUUUAAGGGUUGGGGUUGGGGCAAAAACUAGAACCCUCAAACCCAACCCUUAUAACGCCCCUGUUUUUCAACUCUUAAAAGUGUUAAAAAUGGCCAAUUCUUAAUCCUUAAAACUAGUUUUAGAUUUAAGGGUUUGAGGACUUUACUAGACAUGCUCUAAAGGGGUGCUCCAGUCAGCUACAGCUGCCUAGCCCUAGCGGAGCUCAGUUCCACGUGUCGAUAUGUCUCUCUGUAUCUGCCUCCAAAAUCCCCUAUAUAUACCCCGUUCGAGCUAAAUAACCCUUCAUCCAAACAAGCGAACACAAGCUACUAGCCAGUACUUGGAGAAACCAACAAUGGCGCCGCUCGCAGCCCGGAGGCCAGCCUGCCUCCUGGCCCUCCUCUCCGUCGCCGCGGCCUUAUUCCUGACCCCGACGGCCUUGGCGGCGGGGGGAAAGACCGGCCAGGUGACGGUGUUCUGGGGACGGAACAAGGCCGAGGGCUCCCUGCGUGAGGCCUGCGACUCCGGUAUGUACACCAUGGUCACCAUGUCCUUCCUCGACGUCUUCGGCGCCAACGGCAAGUACCACCUCGACCUCUCCGGCCAUGACCUCUCCUCCGUCGGCGCCGACAUCAAGCACUGCCAGUCCAAGGGCGUCCCUGUCUCCCUCUCCAUCGGCGGCUACGGCACCGGCUACUCGCUGCCGUCCAACCGCUCCGCGCUCGACCUCUUCGACCACCUCUGGAACUCCUACUUCGGCGGGUCCAAGCCGAGCGUCCCCCGCCCCUUCGGCGACGCGUGGCUCGACGGCGUCGACCUCUUCCUGGAGCACGGCACGCCGGCGGACCGCUACGACGUGCUGGCGCUGGAGCUGGCCAAGCACAACAUCCGCGGGGGCCCGGGGAAGCCGCUGCACCUGACGGCGACGGUCCGGUGCGGGUACCCGCCGGCGGCGCACGUGGGGCGGGCGCUGGCGACGGGGAUCUUCGAGCGCGUCCACGUGAGGACCUACGAGAGCGACAAGUGGUGCAACCAGAACCUUGGGUGGGAGGGCUCGUGGGACAAGUGGACGGCGGCGUACCCGGCCACCCGGUUCUACGUCGGGCUCACGGCGGACGACAAGUCCCACCAGUGGGUACACCCCAAGAACGUCUACUACGGCGUCGCGCCGGUGGCGCAGAAGAAGGACAACUACGGCGGCAUCAUGCUCUGGGACCGAUACUUCGACAAGCAGACCAACUACAGCAGCUUGAUCAAGUACUACGCCUGAGCUCCUGUACUUCCACAAGCCACGCUUCUUGCAUCACCGUCGGUUUGAUCCUGAUGUACUGUUGCAAACGAGAACAAAGUGAGGCUUGUACUUGGAUAUAAUAAAUAAAUAAUUGAACAGUUGGUCGUACAGAUCUCUGGUUUAAUCAUCAACUCCAUCACUUAAUUGCUUGUGUUUUUAUCUGUAGUUGAGUGAUACUUCCUCCAUCUCAAAAUAAGGCCCUGUUUGGAGGGACCAUCUCAAAAUAAGGCCCUGUUUGGAUCCCUCCGCUCCCCAACUGCAGCUCUAAGUGUCUUAAUUUUGUACUAAUUUAGUAUCUCAACUUUGUGCUACCUUUAAUACAAAAUUGUACGGAGGGAGUAUGUUACAACUGUGCCUUCACUUGUCAAGUACCGCUUAGCGAAUUUGCGGAACAAACUCUUGUCAUCUUUUGCGAUUAAAAAUGGCACAAACGCUCACUCAUGUAUGUAAUUUGUCAACAAGUACUAGCUGGUAAUUUUGACAUGCAAAAUCAUCAGUUUGCAGGAUUUACCAUCUCUUUGGCAUGCAAACCAUCAGGUUUAUAUACAAACAUUUUGCAGCAGUUUCCACUUCCGCAUAUUUACAGAGUAGCAGUACACAGUAAGAAAUCAACUCAAGCGGACAAUUCUCUCUCAAGAUUAAAUUGUAUACAUGCUUCUGAAUCUUUAAUCAUUUCUUGAACAUAAAGCUCUCUCUGAGGAUAUCCGCAGCUAAUAUAAGUAGCUCCAACAUCUCCAUGCUAGCGGAACCAAGGGGGUCCGCCUUUUCGGAUUUUGAUGAUUUAGGCGAGCCUGAAGUGAUACCACCUGAUGAAUCCCCUGACCAGCUUACUGGGAGAACGACGCCCAGAGCCGUUCUCAUAAGGUUCGCUUCUGUUAUAAGACUGCUCAGUGCUUCAUAACUACUCUCCAAAGAACAGCCGGAUUUGACAUCAUCAUAUACCUGACAAAAAAUGGUUAGGACACAAAAAAUGGGUAUCACAUAUUACUGCUAAAGCUAAUAAUUCAAUUAAAGAAAAAUGCCCUACCUUCAUAAGCACUCUGUGCAGCCUAUGAACCAAAGAAGUGAGAUGUUCCAUAGUAGCAACACUUUCCAAAAGGGUAGCAUUUUCAACUUUCAUCCUGUCAUAAAGUAGCAUGAAAUUUAAAAAAUUCACAGAACAAAAUUGUAAGUGCAGAGAAGAUUAUGGCAAAAAUAGUCUAGGAUGCAGCAUAUUGGGGUCAUAUUUAGCUAAUAGAAAGACUAAGUUUGAUGGGAAUGAACCAAAAAAGUAAUUUGUGUGUAUUAUCACAAACCUUGAUAGAUCUACUGAGCACCCUCUACACACUGUCUGAUCAUUUCCACGAGAGCUCUCAUGCCCAGUAUUAUUUUCCUUUUUUAUCCAUUGUCUUAGAGAUGUUCUGUUAAGAAUAGUCUUCAGCAUCCCUUGUUGGUCAUGCCCAGAAGUGAUUUUUGGAGUAUCAACAAUACCAUGACCAUCAUUUGCAGUAGAGCUGCUGUAUAAGAAGAAAAUAUAUAUAUAGUGAUAAGAAGAAGAAUGUAUAUUACACCCAGGAAAAGGUACUCAAAAUGUUAAGUAAAAAUCACAAACAUGAUCCAGUAUGAUGAUUUGCUGCACAUAAACCUUACCAUUUCAGGAGAUAAGCUUCUUUCAGUUUUGCUAACUCCAUCAGGACCUUCACCUUUUCAUCUUUAACCUGUAUAGAACAGAUGCAAGCAAGUUACGAGAUGUGCAUCCGAUGUUGCAUGCUCUAGUAUGUACCCUUAAGAUAAACUUCUAAGAUGCUGUGAAGAGAAGAGUCCAAGAGGAAAAUAGACAAACAGAAUGGCCUAUUUGCAUACUAAAUCCAGCUUCAUCCGUGCCUCUAUAAAGUCCUUGAUAUUUGCUGGAGCGUUAAUUGCAAAAUAAUGUAAGUUUUUUGCACUAGCUCCAAACAUGUGAUACACUGAAGGUGUUGAACAGAUCUAAUUGUUUCAUAGACCAUCAUAGUAAUAAUCGUUAACCAGUGUUAAUGGUGUAGUCCUUGCAUCUAUGUAAACUAGCCACGCGUCUGUGUACGCCAAUGAACUCAGUCAAAUUCAAAACACCAUCGGAGGUCGACAACUAGUCGAGCCUUUGGUGACAUGGCUAAACAAGUACGGUAGACCUAGCUCUCACAGUUGUGCAUUGACUGCUGCCGAUGCUGAACAGCAGCCGGCUCCGGUCCGGUUCUACAAUAGGACUUCACCAGAUUUUACCCUAACAACCACACCUCUAAUUUUGCAUUUCCAGAAAAUACUGAUUCUAGUAGGAAAAAAUGGACUGACAUAAUAUUCGUGACAGUGUCACAUGAAAUUUCUCCAUAUACUUUACAAUUUAAAGCACUCAGCAUAACUCAAGAUUCAUAAGACUGUAAAGAUUGUAAAAGGAAAAUAACGGCCAUCAAAAGUGUAGGAAAUACUACUUGAGAUAAGUUCUUCUGAAGGUCCUCUAUAAUAGCUUGGUUCUUCUGUUUUUCCAACAGGUAUCUUUCUUGUUCCUGUGAGAAAAGCAUAAGCGCCUCCAUCUGUGGUAGAUUUCAACAUAAUGUGAGAUUAUUUAAUAUAAAGAAAGGCCCAUAUGAGAAUUACAAGCAGAAAGAAGCACCAGGAUAACGCUGUACCUUCUCCUGCAAAGUUUGAGCAAGUGCUUUUGAAUCAUCAAAUGUUGUAGAAUAACCUGUAGGAACAUCACCCUACAAUAUACGCAAUAACAAGUUACGUCAUAUAAGUGUAAAGAGAAUUGUGACGUCCAGUCUUCAGGGAACUACUCCCUCUGAUCCUUUCUAGAUGUACUCCCUCCGUUCCUAAAUAUAAGUCUUUCUAGAGAUUCUAAUGUGGACUACAUACGGAGCAAAAUGAGUGAAUCUACACUCUACAAUAUACAUCCGUAUGUAGUCUUUCUUAAAAUCUCUAAAAAGACUUGUAUUUAGGAACGGAGGGAGUAUUAAUUUUUGAGUUAAUUACACUUUUGAUACAUGCACUUGCCCUCGAUGUACAGAUUCAUACAUAAACUUGAAAAAUGGCACAAAUCUGUUCUACAACUUGUGUUUCGGAUACGUUUAAGUACAUUUCCAUCGUUUACCGUUUACUCUACAUGCCAGGUGGCCCACACUCCAUAUGUGCGUGUGGGUCCCACCUGUCAGUGUCAUAGAAAGAAAUAGAAACGUAGCAAAAAGCAAUUCAACCAGCAGAACUCGAACUUGCGACGUCGCGUAGCGAGCUUCAGGCGUUAGCCAGUGCACCGGAUGCAUUUGUUGUUAGUACGAACAUACGGUCCAUUAUAUAUUUUAUUAGGUAAAUUGAUUCAAAUUCAGAAUGUGUAUUGCACGGGAUUUACUGCGUGCGUGCGUUUUUCAUCUCCGUUUUUCCCCGGUCGACCGGUUAUCAAAAAUUUAGGUGAGCCCCAAAUGUUUUUGAUAUCGUUCAAAAAAUUAUUUAUUUUCAAUUUAAAAGGUCAGAUAAUGUCAAAUAGAGCUCGUAUUCAUAUGUUUUCACAUUAAAAAUAAUCUUCCAAGUGAUAAGGCGCACGAAACAUCUUACAAAAACUGGACCUUUCCAGAGUUACAUUCAACAUUCUUUAUAAGAAAAAAUGGACGAGGCACCAUAGCAAUGCCUUGAACCCGCACCCCUCUGAAUAAACAAGUGAAGCUGGCCGCUAGAACAGGAGGCAGAAUUUGUCAUAUAUGGGGUUAAAAGGAAUAUAUGUUUACACUAAAAAGAUUGAAUUCAAAAUUGUUUUGAAAUUUUGAACGAAAAAUCCCAAAACCUCUGAGUUUUUCGGAAACUGUUUUUUCCGGUCCCUCCCGGAAUAAAACCUCUGAGUUUUUCGGAAACUGUUUUUUCCGGUCCCUCCCGGAAUAAAACCUAAAAAGAGUUUUAAAAAAUAUUGUUCGAACCCCUUGUGCAGCGCCUAUUUGGCUUCAGAUCAAUUGUUUCCUUGCUAUCCAAAAAGUUAACUAUGUGUAACACUAACAAAUAGUAGCAGGUGGUGUAGUGGUUGGCUUCUGGAGCGUGAUAGGUAACGCGCCGAGAUAGAUUCCUACUGUGCGCAAUUGUUUUGCUAUAUUUUUAUUUGUUUCUUUCUUUGGCACUGACAGAUGGGCCCUAUGCGCAGGUAUUGAGUGUGGGCCAACUGGCAUGCAGAGUUUAACGGAGUGUUGAUGGCAAACGACAGAAAUGUACUUGAAUGUACCUGAAACACAUUGUAUGACCGAUUUGUGUCAUUUUUCAAGUUUAUGUAUGAAUCUGUACAUCAAGUGCAAGUUUAUGUAUCAAAAGUGUAAUUAACUCUUAAUUUUUUUCAAAAGUCAAAUUUCUCUAUCCUUCACCAAGUUUCUAGAAAAGAUGUAACAUCUAAAAAAAGGAAUCGGUACUAUUAGAUACAUCAUGAAAUUUAUUUUCAUAUUUUCUUUAUUUAGUAUUGUACAUAUUGGUAGUCUUUUCUAUAAACUUGGUCAAGGAGAGAAAAGUUUAACUUCUGAAAAAAAAUACACCUUAUAAAAGGAACGGAAGAGUAGGCAAAGGAUGUUGUGUAUUAUUCAAACAAUACUCAUGUAUUACCUCUGUCCCAAAUGUUUUUACUUGGAGUUGCAAAAAUCAAUCCCAAAUGCUUUUGGAAUUGAUUUUGCAUAAGAAAGGGUAUGCCAAAUUAGUUCCAACGCGCCCAACUAAAAUACAGUACUACAGUAUUACUUGAGUAAUGUGCAGCAUCCUUUGCCUUUAAAAAAAUGAACCCCCGAAAAACAGGAUGUUACAAGAAAUGUUUUCUUCGGGAAAAAGAGGGGAACACAUCAACAAAGUACCUAUCUAAAAAAAGCAAGGACAUGGUAUCUUGCUUACACAAGAUAAAUAGUCGAUCUGAUUUAAAUGUAAAAAAGAAGUAUGCCAACCCAGGAUAUAUUCAUUAAGGUGUUCUGGAGAUUUGACACUAUUAAGUAAUUUAUCAAUUUCUUCACAAGUUACACUAUAACUCGUGAGCACAAAUCUAGAUCGAGGAAAAGGUUCCGAGAGGAAGUGGUUCCGCAUAAAAGCAAGACUUGAGAAAGUUCAUUAUGUUCUGAACAAACCUUGGGGAUGGUUUCAGGGCCAAUAUCCAUAGUAACAUGCACGUCUUUACAACUACUGUCACAGCAUUGCAUCUUCUCAACAGGGUUACCAAUGAUCUCAGCAUUGAUGCAAAUUUGAGUUAACUUGUCUUGAAUCUCAUUAACAGCCGUGCUUAACAGAAGUGAUUCUUCUUCCAAUAUUUUCAUAAUUUCAGCCCUUUGAUGUGUAUAGACUUUUUGAAGAGCUGACAGACCAUCUCUCAUAAGAUCAUCAUUGAGUGCCUGCAUUCCGAAGUGUAUACAUCAUUAAGCGCAUUAAGGUGCAUUUCAUCAUUGAGCGCAUUAAGGUGCCGUCAGAAAAAAAAAUGAUAUGAUAAGUUGAAUUUUUGUACCUGUUUCUUUUCCAGUGUUCGUACAUUUCUUUGCAAGUGCUGUUCAAUUUCGAAACUCUGGACAUCCAAAUGACAGAUCUCUUAGGAAAGCCGAAAAACUAUUUGUCUCUGCUAUGGAUAAACUUAACUUACCAUUCUUAGAUUGCUUUGCAGCUUAGAUAUUUUAGCUUUAAGCGACUCAUUCUCCUGUUCUAGAGAUGCCUGCAUAAAAAAGAUCAUUGAAUGUGUAUAAAACUAGAAACAAUAAAAUUAUUGAAACUGUCAAGUAACAAAAAGAAGUUUGCUGGUUUGCCGCUUGUAAAGAAGCAUACAAGGCUUAUGUUAUUAAUUUAUCUAUUUAUUAAUGUUGCCCAAUCAGAACGUCUUACUAAGUUUAACUGAUUAUGUCUAUACCAUACUUCGGUACAUUCCACUAUUCCAGCCAUUUAAAUAUAUAAUAAUGCAGAAUGUGGAAACUUCUACACUACCAGUGGAGCAUCGAUUUUGCAAAUGAGAAUUUUUGACAGCCAGGUCCUUUUGUAUAUCUGAGACCACAUUGCUUAAUUUAGGCAGAGAGGACAUGAUCAUCUCUAGCAGAGUCGAACCUAUAAAUAGAAUAACUAUUUACUUACAAUCCUGAAAACCAUCAGACAUGCAACUACUUUGUAAUUUCUGUCUCCGCGUAAGGUGCUGUAAUUUAUACUAGAGAAAGCUAAAGUUCAAAGUAGAGAUGCUUCCUAUUAGAAUUUUAGAAAAACGUGAUAACUGACAUCAAAGUUUAACACGUCCCUAUCUUUUGCAUUUCUUAGGUUCCCAAAAUAAACUUAACCAGACAAACAUAUCCUACAAUAGUGGAUUAUAAAAAUUCAACAGAAGUAUUAGAUACUCCCUCCGUCCCAAAAUACUAAAUCGGCGACGCUUAUUUUGGGACGGAGGGAUUAUAUUUUAAACUGGAAGAACAGUGAAAAAUUAAAACAUAUCAAUCUGCAAGCGAAUUAUUAUCUCUCAUGGAUAAAGUGAUUUAAGUUUACAAUGUACUUCGAAGUUGAGGUUUCGCCAUCCAGGUUGAAACUCCAACUGUCAGCAGAAUCAUCUAGAAGAAUUGAGCAUUUCUCUUCAAAAGUAAUGUUUGAAGGGCAUUCACAUUCCCUCGAACGAACUUCAUAGAAUUUUUUAAUAACCUGAAACAGAAUCAAACAUCAAACUCCCAGUCAAGAAAGGAUCAAUUCUGAUAUAUACUGGGCGGUGCAAAUGAUGCGAACUGAACACGUCAAAUCAGCAUGAAAGAGGGCAGAUCCCAAUUGGAUUUUUUUUAUCUAAAAUAUACCGAGUGUAGAUGGCGAGGUACAGACAACCACAUAGAUUAGAAAUAAAAAAUAUGCAGUAGGUCAAGGAAAUUAUUUUACACUCAGGAGUCCAUCAAAAACACUCAAUAAUAUACGUCCUACUUAGUGAAAUUUACAUUAGAAAGUUGGAUGGGAAAAAUGGGCUAGACUACUUAAAUCCUGACAUUAUUCAGGAUUUUGACAGUAAGCCAUAUUUUGCAUUUCGUUUUUCAUUCUCUCGUUGGGCCCACUACUCAGUGACACAGCCCAGUGGCAAAAAUUAAAUGCACAAUGGCAAAAGUAAAAUUUACAGACUUAUAGUGGUAAGAUUUUCCCUUUAAAUCCUUCAUUGAACAGAAAAAUUUACCAGAUAAUCAUUGUCGACACAGCAACACAAAACAUGCACACAUCCAAGAGAGAUUUAGGAUGCUCUUUUAGUUCUCAACUAAAAUCUGGUACUUUUUCAGUAUAAAAAAAAAAACCUUUUAAGUGAACUUGCACAGAUUUAUGCUGGUAGUAAUGGCAAUAAGAAUCAAAAGCAUGCUUACAUUCAAGGAAGAUUCUGUAUGCGCUUUUAGUUCUGUCAACUCCAUUUGCAGGGCAUCGUUCAAACGUUUCUGAUCUUCCAUUGCAGUUUGAUAUUCUCUCGUCCUGCCAAUUAACAAUCAUGAUACUCUGCACUUAUCUGAAAGGUGCAGCAAAUCUAGGACAUUCUCCAUUCAGUUGUCGAAUGUGGGACCCUUAAAUAAAGCCUAUGUGAAGUGUAGUUGUGAUUUAAGAAACUACCAAAUACAGAAACAGAAAGAAUAAGUUCUGUGGUCACCACCCGAACGAUAUACUGCCUCUGUCCCAUAUUAAUUGACGCUCAAACGGAUGUAUCUAGCAGUAAAAUACGUCUAGAUACAUCCGUUUCAGCGUCAAUUUAAUAUUGGACGAGGGAGUAAUUGUGUAAAGAAUGUACAGUUAAACUUUGUGUCAGUACAUUUAGACUAUGGUACGCAUAUCUCGUUAGAGAUGGGCAGCACAAAUUUUAACUCGCACCGGAAGUUAAGAAAAUUUAAGCACUGCCAAAAUAAGGCCAUGUACAAUGCUAGGUGCUUAGAAAAAUAAAUCUGUUUUGCUUUAAGCACAAGUGGUUAUUUGUAGAGUACAGGUGCUUAGAAAAAUAAAUCGGUUUUGCUUUAGACACCUCUGGUACACAAAUAAGCACUGGUGCUUAAGAAAACAAUGGUUUGUUUUUCUAAGCACUGCUCUAAGCUCCUAGCAUUGUACAUGGUCUAAGAUUCCACUUUCCUCGCUAAACAAGAGAACAUUGUUCCAAACUUAACUAGUGCCCUUUUUUUAUUAGGAUGUGUUUCAUAAUAUGUGCAGUUGCAGGUCUGUCAAUGCACCAGCCAACAUUGAUAUCGGAUGCUGGCCAUUUUACAACCAACAAACUCACAUUCAAAAAGAAAAACCCUGCAAGACCACUUAUUUGUCAAGAUCUUUAAUACUGUAGAUACCAGUCAGUUUCCAUUAUACUCGCCUCUGGGGAACUUGGUGAAACGACACAUUAACAUUUCAUCUUCCUUAAAUAAUUAUAUCUUAAAUACCAGAGAACAGUUCAAGACAUGUGAAAUAGGAAAUGAGUUGUACCUUUCCUCAAAGGUAGCGCACAUUUUUAACCCUGCUUCUUCUCGCUCCUUUGCUUUCUCACACUACCAAUUUCAAAUGUCAUGUGUAAAGCAUUACAUCUUUAGAUACAGAAUUGACUUAAUAAGUAAAUCAAGAAGAACCUCCAACAAUGAACCAUCUCGUUCAGCAAAUGCUUGAGCAACGCUGCUCUGGAAAAACCUCACUUGCUGCUCUAGCUCCUUGGUCUGCAUUGUCAUUGCAGGAUAGAAGGUCAUUUCCACAAUAAGCUAGAUUUCUUGUAAACAGAAAUUAGGAGGUUAAAGAAUUAGUGACCUAAAUUCCACAAAAUAUCAAGUUUUAAGUAAGCAUAUGAGGCCUUUAUUAUCUAUUUCAAGUUAACUGAAGUGAAAUUAAUGUUAAGCAAAGGCCCCAAAGGGUACCUUCUCUAAAAAGACCAACCAAGACUCGGAAUAUGCCUAUCAUGCUUGAAAUGAUAUUUUACUUUCAGGCUGCAGAUUUUGAAUAAGCACAAUUGUUAGUGUUUUGUUUAGUUGUGCAGUGUCUGAAUGAUAUGUGGGUCUAGCUAUAGGUGAGCAUAGAUAUGUCAUUCCAUGUUCAAGCUCAAGGGACUUCACUCCCUAUACUACUUGUACGUGGAUGAUGGAGAACAAGUAUAAUUAUCUGCCACUAAACAUUAGUUGGCAAAAGUUACAACAUUAUUGACAAAACAACAACACUCGAUUGUACAAGUCAAAGUAUGAAACCUUUGAUAGCUCAGCACCAUAUAAAUCAGCAAGCUGGCUCUGAAAUUUAAGUAAAGCAAUCAUUAGAAGAAAGAAAAAGAAAAGCAGAUACAAACAAUAGUACAGCGAGGAAGAGAAGCACACCUUAACUCGAUAAGCCUCAGCAAGCUCCUCUUGCAAAUUUUGGUUCUCUCUUAAGCAUCCACUUAACUUCUUCUGAAGGAUCUCAAUAUCCUGCUCCAGAGCUGUUGUCCUGGAUAGUUAAAACAAAACAUUGGUUUACUUGCACUACAAUGAUAACAAUGGAACAUGGACAGAACCUAUGGAAGCACCUCUGAGAAAGCAUUCGAGUUGCAACAGAAACAUAACCAGGCCCAGCUUGUUGCAUACACAAUUGCUCGAUAUCUUUUCUCAGUUCAUCACGUUCUGACAAACAAAGAAUAUUUCAAUCAAUAAGUGUACGCCUAUACCCCCACAUAAAAGAAAUACAAGAAUGAAAACUGGAACUACUCCCAAAACAACUAGUCUACAUGAGCAACUUUGAGAAAACAGAACAUGGUGUUCUCUCCAUUCAAAAGGUCAUCAAUCUGAAGUAUGAGAAAAUAGGUACAUUGAUCUUCCAUUGAAAAUCUCUGAUUACUAGUAACAUCUGCCAAUAGUUUCCAACAUGUUAACCAUGUACACAUGACAUCCAAAGGAAGCAACACUGCGGAGUACUAAGAUACUCCUAUGACUGAACAAAGCUGUAGAAGGUUGGAAUUAUUAUAAAGACUCAUAAAAUGUCUAUCAGAAACAAUGUAACAUAAUUAGCCAAGGACUUCAGCAGCUACUUCAUGUACUUUCCCAAAUUGUACAGCAAGCCACCAUUAACAGAGUGAAAGAAAUUAAAAAAAAAACUAUUGCAUUCUUCGCAAAAAUUAUCUACUCAAAUAUGCGAGAAUAGCUGAGUUAUGACAGGGCACAUAUUAGUGAAGGAACUCUAGUGCAUUAUCCGCUUUUAUAUCUUGAGGUCAUUAUUGAAGGAAGCCAGGAACUAGUACGAUUCCCCCUGAAUUUCCAUUGGAGUGCCUCUAUUCCAAAAAGGGGUGAGGGUCCUGAAUUGAACUACUUGCACAGAGAAAACAAUGUAGCCAAACUAAUCACUAAUCUGCAGGCUGAAGUGUUAUAUAUAAUGAGAGCAACUUCUAUUGGCACAGGAAACAAUCAGUAUGUUAGGGUUAUCACUGAAAGUAUAAACGAAUGAAUGAUAAUCUUGUAUAUGACAGAUAUGAGUGAGUACCCCGCUGGAGUUCUUCAACUCGACGAGUUAAUACCUCACCAUCGUAUGGCUUCUCAUCCAUUUUCUACAGAAAAACAGAUAGAAUAAGACUAAUGUUCUUGAAUAAAAAUGCAAAUGAAUUGAUAUCCUACAUGCCAUAAUGUAACAUAAACAUCAAAGCCGUGCAAUGGAAGCCUCAAGUUCUGAGCACAAAAUAGUAGUAAUACCGCAGGCUUGCAGUGAAGCAGGGGUGAUCCCCUAGACCCGCUUCUUCCUACCAAAGCAGAAGUGGAAGAAAAAAUGUGCUGCAGCACAGGGGACAUGGACGGAUUUCUCCCAAGAUUCCGGACUCGGAAUCGCCACAAUUGCACCAACGCGGACGAAACCCUAGCCUCCUAAUCGGGCCAAAAAUGAAGCAUAGGUUCGACUGGGAUUCAGCAAAGCCUACCUUGAAUCCACACAGACUUAUGGCCGGGUUCGUCUCCUCCACGUAGUCGUCGAGAAGAGCACCGCCGCUCGCUUCGCCGCCGGCUCCGAGGAGGACAAGACGAGGUUUUGAGAGCUGUCUCAAAACCAGAUGGUCGCUCCUCGUGGCCUCACAUGCGGAGCCUGAGAGGCGGGCCAGAGCGGCUUCGGUCUACAAGUGCAGAAUAUCGUGCAAGCAAAAUGCUGACGUGGCAAAAUAAUUAGGACACGUGUGGUGGAAGCCAAACCCGCCCACACGCCUUAUAACACGGAAAAGAAUUAUAUGAGACCAGGACUCACGGGCUAGCAUGUGAGACCCACCCUGAUGGAUGACACGUGGCAUUUAUAAAUCACAAAACAUCUACCCACCCUCACUUAAAAUCAGGGGAGAGAUUAUAUGCUUUUAUGAUUUGUGAAUGCCACGUGUCAUCCGUCAGUGUGGGUCUCACCUGCUAGCCAGUGAGACCUGGUCUUAUAUAAUUUUUUUCCCUAUAACACACAGAGUGCAUCACGUCAUCGCAUGCAUGUAUGUGAGAAUCUUUUUGGAUUUUCAGUUUUUAAAAUAUUUUAUCUCUUAAAUGAAAAAUCCGAUUGAAGAUCCUUUUCAUCAUUAAAUCCCUCGCAACGGGAUCUUCGAAACUAGAUCUCAUAUCAAUAUAUUUCGACGAUUUUUUUUGGUUAAAAGUUGUCAUGUCUAUUGCACAUGAAUUGCCACGAUAUUUGCAUUGAAGUUGUCAUGAUAUGUUUCAGCUAUUUUCUUUUACAUCUAAAAGUAAAUUUUGACAUAUUAUAAAACGGGAAAUUAAGAAAUUAGACUUGCCAUGAACCAUAAACUAAAAUUGCCAUGAUACAUGCACUUAAAAUUGUCAUGGUUCAUAAAAAAAUAAUUUUCAUGGUCAAAGUGCUGGAAUUGCCAUCAUCAAAAAUUGCAGUGUAAACCCCAUGCUCUACAAAUUAAAAUUGCCACAUCGCAACUUUAGUUUAAGCACUAUGGCAACUACAGUGUAAACGUCAUGGCAACUUUUGGGCAAAAAAAUUCGUCGAAACAUAUCAACAUGGGGUCUAGUUUUGAAGAUCUCGUCGAGGCGGAUUUAAUGGUGAAAACGGAUUUUUAAUUCGAUUUUUUAUUAGGAGAUAAAACAUUUUUAAGCCGAAAACCAAAAAGAUUCCUGCAGAUGUCAUCUGUUCAUACGUGGCAAAAUGAGUGGUGAUGCAGGCGUGUGGGCAAUGUGCAAGAUGCCACACGUGUGGACGUUUGUUUUUUCCAAUAAUUAAAGGAUGUACAAUGAUUAAUAAGGCAGCCUUGCGAAUCAACCUCUAGUUCGAUGGUUAGAGCAUCUUUAGCACACCAUGUAUAUCGCCGACCCGCAAAAAUCAUUUACAGUACGCGGAAAAACGGUUUUGUGGGCCGGCGCAGGUAUUAGAUGCGGUUUUAUCUGAAUUUGACACAUAUGCACAUAUUCAUAAUUACUAAUUUGCAAUAUAAGAAAAAUGUCAAUAUUACAAUACAACAAUCAUUCAAAUUACAAUAAUUAUUCAAAUGUCCGAAGCAAACUAAAUAAUUCAAUACAAAACUUGUCCUGAAUACAAACCACACAUGAAUUAAAUGAAAAUGAAUCGAAAAAUGAAAUGUGUUACUGCCUAGCCCUUUGCCAAUGGUGCUCAAUGAGAUCCUCCUGAAGCUGAAGUGAAUGUUUGCAUUUUCAGUCUCUUUGUAGGUCUGAAGAAAACAUCUAAUGCAGUUAGGGCCUCUAACUGGUUUGACACGGCUACCCACAUUGUCGUAGAAGAACUCCAAGUCCAUGCCUCUCUCAUCUUCAAUAAUCAUAUUGUGAAGAAUAACACAACAUGUCAUGAUGUUUUUCAAGGAUCGCUUGUCCUGAAAACAAGCAGGACCACGAACAAUGGCAAACCUAGGUUGCAAAACCCUGAAUGCUCUUUCAAUGUCUUUUCGGGCUGCCUCUUGUACCCUUGCGAAAUCAUAUUGUUUCCUAGUUUGGGGGUCGUUGAUGCUCUUGACAAAUGUGCAUCAAAGAGGGUAUAUACCAUUUGCAAGAUAGUACCCCUUUGUGUAUUCAUGCCCAUUGAUAGUAUAGUUGCAAGUAGGAGCAUCACCACUAGCAAGCCUAGCAAACAAAUGAUAUCGUUGCAACACAUUGAUAUCAUUGAGAGUACCCGGCAUACCAAAAAAGCAAUGCCAAAUCCAUAAAUCCUCGGAUGCUAUGGCCUCUACCACAAUUGUUGCAUCACGAGACUUGCCACAAUACAUUUCGUGGCAUGCUUUUGGGCAAUUUUUCCAAGUCCAGUGCAUACAAUCUAUGCUUCCUAGCAUGCCAGGCCAAACUCUUCUAUCAUUAGAUGCCAUCAAUUUUUUUUGUGUCUUCCUCGUUGAGUGCCCGAAGAUAUUCAGGACCAAAGACACGGAUGAUCACUUUGGCAAACCUACGCACUAACUCAAUUGUAGUAUUUUCACCAAUGCGAAUGUACUCAUCGGCAUAGUCAGCCGGAAUGCCGUAUGCAAUUACCCGCAUAGUUGCCGAGAUUUUUUGAUAUGCACUAAAUCCCUUCAAGCCCGCGGCAUUUCUUCUUCGAGUAAAAUACCGACAAUUGGCCUCGCAAGCUUGAACAAUUUUCACAAAGAGGGAUCGGCGCAUUCGAUACCUUCUCCGGAAGAGGUGCGGCGGAUAUGUUGGAUUCUCCGCUAAGUAGUCUUGCAUCAACAUCUCGCUCCUGAGAUGGCGAUUUUGGGGAAUGCAAAGACGGCCGAUGGUCGAUCCUCGCCGCCUCUUUCGGUUCUCAUCUUCGUGCUCCUUAACGGCAAGGGCCAUCACCAAUGUCUGCUGGUGGUAGUUGACAAGUAGCGUCUCAACAUCCGAGUCGUUUGAAUCGGACAAAUCGUCGAGCAAAAACUUCUCGCACGGGCUCAAUUCCAACUAAAAUCACAAAUACGCACGCCGCGUUAACCAACCAUGCAUACCGCUCGACACAAGCACAAGUACAAACUCACCGGUUGCUCGGGGGCGGUGGCUCUCCGGCGGUGGAUCCCAAGGCGACGACGGUGACUAGGGGCGGCUCGGAUCGACGGAUCCGGGGAGCCGGUGCAGCGGCUCGGUGCACGAGGGUAGGGGCGCCCACGCGGCGCGAUUCCACCCGCGGAUUUGGCCGGAAUCGCCGGCGCCGGACGGGCGAAACCAAUGGCGGGCGGCGGUGGAAGGGGUGGGGGAAAGGGCGUGGGCUGAAAUGUCCCUCCCACCAACCGCUUUCCUGGGAUACGGGGUGAGGCGGAAACCUGCGUUUUCGCGGGUUGGGGAUGGGAUUUUGCCGCGCCCCUCAAAAAAUUUUACGGGUCGGACGCGUUUACAGGGUCUGGUCGGGCAACAUUUUCCACGCCGACCCGUAUUUUGGCGGUUAUUUUGCGGGUCGCGGCUUUUUACGGGGUUUGCUAUAGAUGCUCUUAGAUAGACAGUGGUAUGAUUCAAGUCUUGAUACUCGCAUUUAUUCUGGAUUUAUUUCAGAAUUUUCGGCGAUACAUGUUCAGUGGGUGAAGACGUUCCCGUCGACUACGAGGCGCCUAGGGUGACUUCGUAAAAUCUCAAGUUGAUAUGCUGGCUCAGUCUCUCGGAGAUGCUCAUAGGGAUAUGGUGUGCGUGUGUGUGUUCAUAGGGAUAAGUGUAUGCGUGUAUAUAUAAGCGCUUGUGUCUGUACUGAUGUUCAAAAAAAUAAGGCAACCUUAUUUUAGUUUUGCCACAUGAGAAGACAAUACAAGAUGAGUAGGGCAUUCUGAAGACCGAGCUUCGUAGAGGCCUUAAUUUUAGAAAGAUCAUACUAUUCAGUUUCAAAGAAUUGUAGAAAAGAAAAUACACAUGUAUAGAAGUAUGUAAUGUGUAUGCGUAUAACAUGUUUGGAUGAAAUCUUGAAUUGCGAGCUGCAAAAGAAAAUCCUGAAUUUUGAGGAUGAACUGUAAAUAUGUUAGACAGUCAUGAAUUUAUUUUUCUUUUGUAGCUCUAAUUUUAAUGUAUUUCAACCUAAAAAAUUAUGCAUGUAUACAUUGUGUCUCUAGAUAUAUAUGUAUUUUUCACAAUUUUCUGAAGCUGAAAAGUUCUAAGCUUUCAAAUUAAGACCUCCAUGAAGCUCGGCCUCCGUUCGGCAUUUUUGAUAAAAAAAGUAUGAUGAGUUCUUUCUUAGUCUUACAUUUUGUAGAACACCCCUUCCUUCUUUUAUACAGCUUGUUCCGUUGCACUUUACGUGCGCUCGGUGGAAAAAAAUCGUCACUUCUGUCGCAUGCACUACAAGAGAAAAAACAAAAUUACCAUCAUGGGAUUCAAAUCCACAACUCUCUGGCAUCAAGCACACUGCAACAACCAACUCACCUAAAAGGAGUGGCUGCCCCAAAAUUAACCUUUUUAUCAUUUUUUCACAACUACAUUAGUAUAUAAGUUAUCAGUUUUGCUAAAGUACAUCUAGAUGUGUCAUAAGUAUUGCAUAUCUAAGUCUUAUAUCAUUGAUCUUAUGCGGAGAUUCAUGUGAGUAUUUUUUUUCUUUUUUAUGCUUUGAUUGAGUCAUUUAAAUGCGCAAUAACUAGACGUGCCCUAAACAGACCCAUAAGUUAUCCUUAUGUUUGAACGACUUUUUCUUCGGAUUAAAGUUAUCAUGGUGUUCUAUGUAAAUUAUCAGGUCUGUGAUGCAUAAGUUCACAUGCUAUUUACACAGAAAUUAUCGAGGUAUGUUUUAACAACUUUUUUUUCUUCGGGUCAAACCUUUUUUACCACAGUACAAACGCAGACGCUCAUGCACUCACCCCUAUGAACGAACGCACGCACAUCCUAUCUCUGCGAGCACCUCCGAGAAACUUGAGCGACACAUUAUCUUGAGAUUGACAAAGUCGCCAUGGACAUCUUCUUAGUCGACGGAACGUCUUCUCCCAUUGAACGCACAUCGCCGAAAAGUCUAAACAAAUCAAAAUAAUGCGAACACCAAUGUCAAAUCUAUCUCCGUGUCAAAAUUAUCACUGUGUUUUGUACACAAUUUAUCAGGUCUGCAAUACGUAAAUUACUAGUGUAUCAUUCAAACAACUUUUUUCAUGGGUCAAAGUUACCAUAGUGUUGCAUGUAGGUUAUCAGAUUUGUGGCGCACAAAAUUAUCAUGUUACUUACCCAAAAAAUUAGAAUCGCUAUUUACACAAAAAGUUAUCGGACUUGUUUCAAUAACUUUUUUCGUGGGUCAAAAUUACCACGGUGUUGUAUGUAAGUUAUCAGGUAUGUGAUGCAUAAAAUUGCCAUAGUAUUCACAAAAAUCAGUAGGGUAUGUUUUAAUUAAGGAUGGCAAUGGGUAGGGUAUGGGGCGGGUAGAGCAAUACCAUACUCAUACCUGUGUAAUCAAUGGGUACAAAAUUCUACCCAUACCCAUAUCCAUGGAUAUGAACUUUUACCCGUACCCAUACCCGAUGGGUAGUCAUACCCAUUAGGUACCCAACGGAUAGAUCAAAUAAACAAGUUAUUCACAAUUUUACAUUCAUCUAUAGCACAUUUGACAAAAAAUAUUGAUCUCAACUCAAUAACAGUUAGAUGAGUACAUGAUAAUUAUCUCAAUUCAAAUUGACAAUUGGUGACAACUUUAACAUAGGUUCAUAAGCUCAUGACACAACUUUAACAUAGGUACACUUGUGAAUCACAGGUAAAACUCACAUGUUAGUAUAAAUGGGUAGGGUAUGAGUAUAUUCAUGGGUAAAAGGCUAUACCCAUACCCUACCCAUGACUUAAUAGGUAGGGUAUGGGUAUUACCCAUGGGUAUAAAAUUGUGCCCAUACCCUACCCAUGCGAGUACGGUAUCUGCGGGUACCCAUACCCGUGGGUAAAAUUGCCAUCCUUAGUUUUAACAUUUUCUUUUCCUGUGUGACUGUGUCAAAGUUACCACUGUGUUUUGUACGCAAAUUAUCAGAUUUGCGAUGCGUAAAUUACCAUACCGGUAUUUACACACACAAAAUUCUGGAUUAUGUUGGCGUUUGUAUGUAAAUUAUUAGGUCUGUGAUGUGUAAACUAAUAUCAUGUUAUUUACAAAAAAGUUUCAAAAAAUUAUCAUAUUUAAUUUUCAAUUAAAAUGUGUGGGUCUUUACCUCCCUUGGUUAUGGUGGCGGUUACCACAAUAUUUGCUUCUGACUAGUCAUAGUGAGGAGUACUACCUUCGUCCUAGUUUAUUAGUUUCGUGAGCUAUCAAAGAUUGUAUCAUUUUUAUUAGGCCACUGCCUUUAAACACAUCACUUUAUUUCCUCUAUCCCCGGAUUCCAAUGCUUUCUUCAUGAAAGCAAGCGCAUGGGACUGCUUGAUUGAAUAUGCAUGCAAGCUGCAUGCGCACAAUAGCCAUUGCUUGCACAAAGGUCGUAAAUAGGCCUAGUUAGUAGGGGUGAUUAGAGAGGAGAUUUAUUUCCAAUUUCUCUGUCUGCGUGCUUUUCUUGAUCUUUGCGUUUGGCUCAAGGGCCCAAUAAACUAGAACAGAGGUAGUAACUUACACUAGUGUCAUGCACAUGACACUAAUCUUUGUUACUAUCUCCAUAGUGCAAAGUAAGGCCCUGUUUGGUUCAUAAGUCCUAGGACUUUUUUUUAGUCCCAACUAAAAAGUUUCUAGUCCCUAAAAAGUCCCUCCCUGUUUGUUUUCAGGGACUAAAAAGUCCCUAGUCCCUCCCUAGAUGAUAUGUAAAAGACCAUGUUACCCCUAGUAUACAGAAAAAUAACAACCAAACAACACCAUAGGGCGGCGGGGCAAUGGGUGCAGGGAGGGGCAUUGUUGGAAAAGUCCCAAAAAAGACUCUCCUUGAGAGUCUUCUUCAUUUAGUCCCAAAAUGCAACUUUUAGUCCCUAGUAGUCCCUCGUGUUUGGUUAAAAAGUCUCUAAGAGGGACUUUUUCUAGUCCCUACACCAAAAAGUCCCUGGAAACAAACACCCCCUAAUAUAUAAGUAAUCAUAGACGAUUGCGUUUAUUAAAUUGUAGACUAUUUUGCUUUGGGUUGCGUAUGUUACAGUAACAUAUUAUGUUACUUCAAACACCUCUCUCCUCUAUAUACCACAUAAGCAAAUUUAUCUUGAAAUGCACUACGUUACUUGCUACUCCCUCCGUACCGGUGCAUAAGUCAUCUUACGUUGUGCACCACGACCAAGGCGAAGGGGGAAAUGAGAGAAUCUAAUGUUUAUUUGCUAAUUAAUACCAUUACAUGUAAUGAACUGACCACUGCAUGCCAUGCUAGGUAGUCUCAAGUCAUUAAAACAUAUAUGCCUCAUGUCUCUUAUUGGUUGAUUCAUUUUAUUUACGUCAAGAAACAAGAAACGAUGUGGGAGUUAAUGCAAUGUACCUAAAUGUUUUGGAAUUAUUUGGUUUUCGUAAGAUGACUUGUGCACAGGAGUAAGUUACUCCCACUAUGACCAGCCUCAUGACCUGCAUGUAGCGACAAGCAUUGCUUACAUGCUCUCGAUCUUCAAGGUGCUACAGAUUUCAAUGCUCUUAAUUGCCUAGCCAACUAAUUCCUCGAGCAAAGUAGGAAUUAGAAAGAUUAACGGGAAAAAACUACUUAAUAUGAAACCUGUAAAUCCUAUUGCCCACUAGGCGUUUAAACCAUGGAAGGAGGACGACAACGAAUCGAAAGAGUAGUUGGCUAGUGUGCUUGAUAAUUUUUCCCUCCUUUAUAGGAGUUCGUUUGUUCAAUUCCUUUUUCAAUCUAUUUCUUUUUCUCGCCCCAGGCUUUGGUCAACGGGGAAAAUCUAUACCAAAUAUGCGAAUCUAUGCAAAAUGCCUACCAAUGAAUGCACAAAGAAUUUAGUUGCUCAACAAAUAAAUGAAACUUAAAUACAAAAGCUAAGGUCUCUCCCAAUGCACUGUCUCUUAGCACGUUAUCAUAUAAGAUGUAAAAACCUAAAAGCAGCGGCGGAGCCAGCACCCGGCCACCC
This 72923-nucleotide long non-coding RNA is filed under the name Triticum aestivum (bread wheat). RNAcentral's name for it is "long non-coding RNA (TAES_LNC004266)". The stretch from base 47670 to 47784 matches the Rfam family "MIR1120/MIR1122 microRNA precursor family". Lineage: Eukaryota; Viridiplantae; Streptophyta; Magnoliopsida; Poales; Poaceae. The record is from RNAcentral.